AAAAGCCAGUAAAGCCGACUUUCAGUAAGAUGAGAGGACUGCUUUGAUUAAAUUCAGGAAAAUAUCCAGUCAGAUCUUGGUUGUAUCUCACACUAAGAGAUUCUAGGUUUGGCAGUUGGAAAAUUCUCACUGGAAAUUCACCAAACAGGUGAUAGUCCCUGAGGUAGAGGGUUGUCAAAGAUGAUAAAUUAGCCAUGGAAUGAGGAAUUGCCGAAGAUACAUUUACAAAACUGAGAGAAAGUACUUCGAGACUGGUUAAGUUUUGAACUAGGCUUCCAAGAUCUGAUGCUUCAAGUUUCAACAAGGGAUAAUUCUCCUCUUCUGACGACUGAUGAUCCUUAUCUUCUGACAAUCUAUCGAGAUUGAGAGCUAGAUUAAGGUAUGUCAACUUGGAUAACAGUGAAAGUUCAGAAGGGACUUGACCAGAAAAGACAGAGGUAGAGAGGUCAAGAUGAGUAAGGCUUGGAAAAUUCCUAAUGCUAGUAGGAAUUUGAGAGUAAUUGAAGUUAUUGUCAGUGAGGUUUAACCUUUGAAGAUGAACAAGGCGGAAGAGGCUGCUGUUGCUGUUGAUAGUGUUGGGACUUAAAAAGGCUUCACUACUUUGGAGAUGUUUAUCUCACAAAGAAGAAUGAAAUGCAGCGGAAUUGAUAGGCAAGAGAAAGAACACUCAAAGUGUUAUACAAAUUUUUUUUAUUCUCACACAAACUUAGUACAAGAGGAAACACUCAAACACUCUCACACUUCUUGCUCUCUUACUUGCUCUCACUUCUUCUUAGUUCUUGCUUCACAACUCACACACAUACACCUAUUUAUAGGCAUGUUUGCCGACCUAUGCCAUCACUAGAGUUUUCUAGUGUAUGAACAUGCACAUACUACACCAACCUAGGCAUUUGCUAGAUUAUUCUAGCUUGUUAUGCAUGCCACCGACAUGGGCAUUACAUAAUAACCUAUACAUUUAUGAUGGUUCUAGCCUUUUCUACAUACAAACCAUUUUUCUAGAUUUUCUUAAACUUUUCCAACUUUCUACCUUCUUUGCUAGAGUUUUCUAGCAUUUUCUCAUUGGUUUUGGGUUGGAUCACUUGUCUUGGGCCUAAGACAAGAUUACUAUUCAACAUCCCCCCUUAAUCUUGUCUUGUGACGCCGAUUGAGUUUCUCAGUCUGACAAAGUCUUCUUGCCUAAGUGGUUUGGUAAAUAUGUCGGCGACUUGGUCUUGUGACUUCACGUAUUCCACUUGCACAUCCUUUCUUGCAAUGCACUCUCUUAUGUAGUGAUAACGAGUAUCUAUGUGCUUGCUUCUGUCAUGGAAUACUGGAUUCUUUGUUAGGGCUAUUGCAGACUUGUUGUCGACAUAGAUCUCUGUUGGUUCUUCUUGUGGCAUGCUUAAUUCUUUUAGCAAGUUUCUCAGCCAAAUUGCAUGGCAGACACAUGAAGUAGCAGCUACGUAUUCAGCUUCGCAGGUAGAGAGAGUGACAAUCGGUUGCUUCUUCGACAUCCAUGUGAAUGCAGUGUCUCCCAUGAAGAACACAAAUCCAGUAGUGCUUUUUCUAUCAUCGGAAUCUCCUGCCCAAUCAUUGUCGCUAUAUCCAGCAAGUUUGUAGUUAUCAGAACUUGAAUAGAAUAAGCCAAAGUUAACAGUACCUUUAAGGUAUCGAAGAAUUCUUUUGGCUGUCUUCAGAUGUGUAGUUGUGGGAUUCUCCAUGUAGCGACUGACUAAUCCGACGGCAUAGAGAAUAUCUGGUCUUGUGCAAGUCAAGUAACGCAAGCUUCCAACUAAACUCUUGAAAAAUGUUGGAUCUACACUUUCUCCUUCGUCAUGCUUGGUUAGUUUGACUCCGCACUCCACUGGCGUGUUUAUGGGCUUGCAGUCGUCCAUUUUGAACUUUUUCAGUAUCUCUUUUGUGUAGCUUUCUUGGGAGAUGAAAAUACCUUCUUCGUUCUGCUUGACUUCAAUGCCUAGGUAGUAUGCCAUCAACCCGAUGUCCGUCAUCUCGAAUUCUUUGGUCAUCACUCUCUUGAACUCUUCAAACAUGCUUGGAUUACUUCCGGUGAAGAUUAGAUCAUCCACAUAUAAGCACACAAUCAAAAUAUCUCCAUCUUUGACUUUGACGUAGAGAGCAUGUUCAUGAGGGCACUUGGUGAAGUUGUUCUCAUGGAAGUACUUGUCAAUGCGACUAUUCCAUGCUCGUGGCGCUUGUUUUAACCCAUAGAGGGCUUUCUUCAACUUCAAAACUUUAUCUUCAUGCCCUUUGAUUUCAUAGCCUGAUGGUUGCUGAAUGUAGACUUCUUCUUCAAGGACUCCAUUUAGGAAAGCGGACUUCACAUCCAUUUGUUGAAUCUUCCAUCUGUUUUGAGCUGCCAACGAAAUUAGUAAUCGUAUAGUUUCCAACCGAGCAACAGGUGCAAAUACCUCAUCAUAGUCGAUUCCGGCUCUUUGACUAUAGCCCUUCGCCACUAAUCUCGCCUUGUAUCUUUCGACCUCUCCAUUGGCAUUUUUCUUUGUCUUGUACACCCACUUGACUCCGAUGGCUUUGUGUCCUUUCGGAAGAAUAGCGAGUUCCCAUGUAUCAUUCUUCUGGAUUGCUUCAAUUUCUUCAUCCAUUGCUUUCCUCCACUUAGUAUCUUGCACUGCUUCUUGGAAGUCAACUGGUUCACAAUCAGCAAAGAGACAGAAAAGUGUAGGAUUAUCGAGUCUUUCAGCUACCUCAUAAAGAUCUCGUAGACUUCUUGUGCGUGGUACUUCUCUUUCAUUUAGACUCCCACUUGGUGAUGCUGAUGCUGGUGAAUUUCCAUGAUUGGUUGAUGUUGGUGAAGCAGGUGGAGUAGUGGAUUCUUGUUGAACUUCUCUUGCUUGCUCCAUCGUCCCUUGUUCAUUCUUUUCUUCAAAUUGAGGAAAGAAGCUGAGAUCACUUGCAUGAGAGCUAAAAUCCCAUUCUCCUUCUUCGUCGAACGUCACGUCUCGACUGAUCAUCGUCUUCCCAUUGUUUGGAUUAUACAACUUGUAGCCUUUUGAAUUUGAGUCAUAGCCGAUGAAGAUGAACUUCUCACUUUUGUCGUCGAGUUUGGUUCUCCUCUCGUCUGGUACAUGUACAUGGGCUAUGCUUCCAAAAACUCUUAGAUGGGAGAUACCUGGCUUUCUUCCACUCCAUGCUUCUUGUGGAGUCUUUCCCCACACACUUCUUGUUGGAGACCGAUUGGAUAGGUAGACAGCACAUGCUACAGCUUCUGCCCAUAACUCUUUAGGUAAUCUCUUACUUUUGAGCAUACUUCGAGCCAUGUCGAGGAUAGUUCGAUUUUUUCUUUCCGCCACACCAUUUUGUUGAGGGGAUCUUGGAACUGUCAAAGGUCGACGAAUUCCAUUUUCUUCACAAAACUCUUGAAAUUCCUUCGAAGUGAAUUCUCCUCCUCGAUCAGAUCUCAUGGCUUUGAUCUUGCAACCACUUUCUUUUUCUACAGCGACUUUGAACUUCUUGAAUGCUCCAAAGACUUCUGAUUCUGCUUCAAGAAAUACACCCAGGUUUUCCUUGAAAAAUCAUCAAUGAAGAGAAGGAAAUAAUUAUUUUUACCCAAAGAGCUUGGUUUUAUUGGGCCGCACACAUCGGUGUGAAUGAGCUCAAGUGGCUUCUGGGUUCUUGUGGUCGACUCCUUUGGAAAGCUUUUCCUGAACUGUUUCCCAAGUAAACAUCCUUCACAAACUUGAUUAGGGUGGCUGAUGCACGGUAAGCCUCUCACCAUCUCCUUCUUAGAUAAUAACUCCAAUCCCCCAAAGUUAAGAUGCCCAAAACGAAGAUGCCAAAGCCAAGAUAUGUCUUUGUAACAAAUCUUGAGACACUUUGUAACAUCGUUUUGAAUGUCCAUGGGAAACAUCCUAUUCUUUGACAUUUUCGCCUUGGCAAUUAAUCUUCCUUUGUCAUCUCUAAGAAAAAGGAUAUAAUUUUUCGUAUGAAAAUCAUAACCUUUUUCUAAGAGUUGACCCAAACUCAAAAUGUUGCUUUUCAUAUUGGGCACGUAGUAGACAUUUGAAAUUAAUUGGUGACCGCCAUUUUUCAAGGGAAUAAGGAUGUUACCUUUUCCUUUUACAGGUAUUUUGGAUUCGUCUCCAAAAGAAACGUUGCCACUCACUGAUUCAUUGAGCUCUACGAACACGCUUCUUCUUCCACACAUGUGGUUGCUGGCGCCGGUGUCAAGAUACCAUGUAUAGUCUUGGUCUUUAUCAUUGUUCUUGCAUGCUAGUAGCACAAUGCCAUUCUCUUCUUUAUCUUCUUUCACAUAAUUGACCUUUUCAUCAGGUCUGUUGCUUGGAGCUCUACAUUCCCAAGCAUAAUGCCCGAACUUUUGACAAUUGUAGCAUUGAACUUGAGAUUUUUCAUACCUCAAAUUUGAGCGCCCUCUUCCACGACCUUUUGUUGAGCUUUCUCCUCUAUCGUAGUUGCUUUGGUUGUUGAAGUUCCAACCACGUCCACGUCCAUAUCCACGCCCACGUCCGCGACCUUGGCCACGACUUCUUUCGUAUUGGCUUCUCUCGUUGUCGAAGCUUCCUUCUUUCUUCUUUGGCUGAACAUGUGUCUUGAGGAGCUGCUCAUCAUUCCCUUGCCUCUUCUUAUGUUUCUCUUCAUAUGCUUGUAGCGAACCCAUUAAUUGCUCUAUACUAAUUUCUUCCAAGUUCUUUGUUUCUUCAAUCGUCACGACAAUGUGCUCGAACUUGGGGUCCAACGAGCGUAGUAUCUUCUCCAUAAUUCUAACAUCUUCUAACUUUUCUCCGUUUCUUUUUAAUUGAUUGGAAACGGCUAAGACUUUUGAAAAAUAAUCAGAGAUUGAUUCAGACCCUUUCAUUUGUAGAGAUUCGAACUCACCUCUUAGUACUUGAAGACGAACCUUUUUCACUUGUUCGGCUCCUUUGUAAGAGGUUUGAAGCUUCUCCCAUGCUUGCUUGGCAGAGGUUGCACUCGAGACUUUCUCAAAGCCAUUGUCAUCUAAUGCUUGGUAGAUGAGGUAGAGAGCCUUCUUGUCUCUCUUUCUUGAAUCUUUCAAACUCUCCUUCUGGGGUUGGGACAGAGUAGCUUCAUCUUCUGGCUCAGUGUAGCCUUUCUCCACGACUUCCCAUACAUCAUGUGCUCCCAAAAGGGCCUUCAUUUUGAUACUCCAAUUAUCGAAGUUGUUGUUGUCGAGCACUGGAACUUGGAAGGCUGCCAUAGCGUUGCUAGCCAUAGCUCUGAUACCACUUUGUUGGGACUUAAAAAGGCUUCACUACUUUCACAAAGAAGAAUGAAAUGCAGCGGAAUUGAUAGGCAAGAGAAAGAACACUCAAAGUGUUAUACAAAUUUUUUUUAUUCUCACACAAACUUAGUACAAGAGGAAACACUCAAACACUCUCACACUUCUUGCUCUCUUACUUGCUCUCACUUCUUCUUAGUUCUUGCUUCACAACUCACACACAUACACCUAUUUAUAGGCAUGUUUGCCGACCUAUGCCAUCACUAGAGUUUUCUAGUGUAUGAACAUGCACAUACUACACCAACCUAGGCAUUUGCUAGAUUAUUCUAGCUUGUUAUGCAUGCCACCGACAUGGGCAUUACAUAAUAACCUAUACAUUUAUGAUGGUUCUAGCCUUUUCUACAUACAAACCAUUUUUCUAGAUUUUCUUAAACUUUUCCAACUUUCUACCUUCUUUGCUAGAGUUUUCUAGCAUUUUCUCAUUGGUUUUGGGUUGGAUCACUUGUCUUGGGCCUAAGACAAGAUUACUAUUCAACAGAUAGAGCCGUGGAGACAGCUGCUACCAAGAUCUAGGCCAAUCACAUGACCCGUCUUCUCAUCACACUUGACACCUUCCCAUGAGCAGCAGGUGCUAUUUCCUCCUUCAGCUGGUUUCCAUGAUGAAACCUUUGGAUAAGCAUCGGGAGAUCUAGAAGCAGAUUUGUCAAUAGUAAAGCUGUCUCUGAAUUGCAGCAGGGCGGACUUCUCCUCAUCAGGGCAAGAUGGAUACUGCUUCUGCGAAGAGUAGGAAGAGUUAGCAAUAACCACAUGAUGAAACAGCAACAAAACUAGUACUGGUUUUGAAAUGCGAAUGGUGGAGAUAUCAAGAAACCCCAUGACAACAAUAUUUUGAUUUUUUUUUUUUUUUUUUUUUUUGCACUCUUAGCUAUGUAUGGAGUGGAAAGUGAUACAACUAUUUAUAGACUGGCAUCAGCAUAAAAUUCUUCCGCAAAUUAAUCUCUAAAAAGUGAUGGAGAUGGGUGUAAUGAGGACAAGUGCAUCGUAUCUUCUACAUGUAUAAAAGAUGCUCUUGACUAAUUUAUUCGUGAGUUAAUUUUUGAAGUCAAGUCUUCCAACUUUUGAGAUGGUGUGAAAUUAGAAGUUAGACAAAUGAGCAGCACCAUAAAAGAAAAAAAAAAUAUUUGCAUACACACAUAUAGUUUAUCGCAUGAGUUCCUUCUGUAAGGGUUUAUGGUAUUUGUAUUGACACUCUUGUAAGGUUUUAUCAUAUUUGUAUGCCCAAUUGCAAGACUUAUCAACUUUGUAUUUGGGUACUUCUAAAUGUGUUGGACCUUCAUGCUUGAAAUCUUCAUUAAAAUAUGUGUAAUUUGUAUUGGAAUACAAAAUUAAACAAAAAAAAAUGUUAACGGGUGACUCAUGAGCUUAAUAGGUUGAGUUUGAGUGACUCAUUAAUUUAACGAGUCGGGUGUGGGUCACUCAUUAGCUUAAAGGUUCAGGUGAAACCCGACUCAAACCCAAUAAACCUGACUUGUUUAUAGGUUACCAGCAUAUAGUAAGGGGGAUGAAAGUUUCGAACUCUCAACAACAAAUUAAGACAUUAGAGUCAUUAGAUUCAAUUCUUGCAUUGGCUUGAAGUGGGAUGGAUUUGAAGCCAUAACUUUUCAUUCGAUAUCCAAUUUCUUCAUCAUUAGGACUUUCAAACUCCUAGCAUAUAUUAAGUCAAGAGUGCAGGUGUAACGAAAUUUUUCGUGUUGGAUUUGGUCUAUGUUGCAUUUUUCAAACCACAAGCCCUUUUUUCAUCAGAAAAGAAAUAUCUCAUUAACUCAAGAGAAAGCAAGGAAGAGAGAUACUUCCACUUGGAGUUGAAGCCCCAAGCCCCAACCAUAGGAAAACUGCAGAAAAACGUAUUUGGCUCAAUUCUAAUUUUCAUUCAUUCUCAAAUGUACAAUAUAUAUUAAAUACAAAUAUAUAGAUUAUUUACAAAUGCACGCCAUUUACUCUUGUGUGGUGCUAUCCACACACCCAUUUUUACCUGUCACACACCACUCCCAAUUUUCGGACGUCGGGCCAUGUGAAUGGUAGAAGAUCAAUGUACAAAAAUUAACAAGUGUGUGUAUGAAAUAAAAUGGGGUGUGUGAAUAGCAUUAGGAGAAAUUAGAUUCAAAUCCUUCAUUUUCCUACUCCAUUGAUUAAAACCUUAUUCCUUUUCAAUUUUUGAUCAACGUCGUUGGAUAUUAAUAAUAUCAUUAAUUAUUUCAAUAAUAAUUUUUUUAAAUAUAUUCCUUUAGUGUUAAAAAUGUUACAAUUAAUAUAUUUAUAUUUAUGGCUAAAUUUUUUAUCAUAUAUUUUUAUUUUUAGUUUGUAACCAUUUUUAAUUUGCAAACCUUUUUUAAUUUGUACCAAUUUUCUUUUCAAUUUUAAUUUGUACCCAUAUAUUAAUUUCUUUUUGUGCCCAUAUUUUUUAAAGUUUUAUUUGUAUUUGUGUCCAUGUGUUUACCAUCACGUGACAUUGUAUAAUUAAUCAAUAAUAGAAAAAUUACAUAUGGUAUAUUUAUGUUUUAUGGCUAAACUUUGUAUCAUAUAUUUAUAUUUUUAGUUUGUACCCACUUUUAAUUUGCAACCUUUUUUUUAAAUUUGUUGUAUUUUCUUUUUAGUUUUAAUUUGUACCCAUGUAUUUUUUUUUUUUGCACCCAUAUUUUUAAAAAUUUCAUUUGUACACAUAAUUUUUUAAUUUUUUAUCUGUACCCUAAUUUAUUUAUACUGUACCCAUUCUUCUUUAUUAAUGUACCACUUUGUUAUAUGUGAAAUGUACCAAUUUGUUUUGUAAAAUGUACCAAUUUUUUUAACACUAUGGAUACAUUAAUUCUUUUGCCAUUUAUUAUUUGUUAUUGUUACAUAGUUUUUAUCCAUUUAUUCAUCAAAAUGUUUGAAUUUUUCAUUGUAGCCGUUUCUAAUAAUAUUAUAAUGAGGGAUUUUAAAUUUAUAGGAUUAUAAAUCUUAUAAAAUAUCAAACAAUUAAUGUCAAAACUAUAAAAAUAUAAAUAUUAAUAGUCAUAUAAUGAGAUGUGCAAAGUCAAUGGACUUUGAUCAAACUUUGAAUACCAUUAAGGUUUUAGUUAAAAAGUGUUAGAGAUUAGAGACCCCAUCCAAAGUAUCUCAUAACAUUAUCCUUACUCUUUCAUACAAUUAGCGUAAUGCAAAAAAGUCAACGAACCCAUGUAGAAGAUUUAAUGAGUCGAAUUGUUCAAUGAACCAAACCCAUGUAGAAGAUUUAAUGAGUCGAAUUGUUCAAUGAACCAAAUUAACUAACACUGCCCCUCAAGUUUUGUUGGGUAAAAGCUUAGGCGCUCAAAGCUUACUUUUACCUGACGGAAUGAUUUCAUCUCAGAAGGUGUUUUCUUAUAGUGAUACCAAUUAACUCCAUGACAAUAAUCUUUUUAAUUAUUUUACGGAGUAAUUAGGUUUUCAUCCUUAUUGUUACUACUCUAUUGAUUAAAACCUUAUUACUUUUCAAUUUUUGAUCAAGGUCCUUUGUAUUAAUAAUAUCAUUAAUUAUUUCAAUAAUAAAAUAUUUUUUAUUUCUAAAUAUAUUCAUUUAAUAUUAAAAAUGUUACAAUUAGUAUAUUUAUAUUUAUGGCUAAAUUUUUUAUCAUAUAUUUUUAUUUUUAGUUUGUACCCAUUUUUAAUUUGCAACCCUUUUUUAAUUUGUACCAAUUUUCCUUUCAAUUUUAAUUUGUACCCAUAUAUUAAUUUCUUUUUGUGCCCAUAUUUUUUAAAGUUUUAUUUGUAUUGUACCCAUAUUUUUUUAUUUAUUUGUACCCAUUUUUAUUUUUGCUAAAUGUACCCAUUUUGAAGAAUGUACCCAUGUUUUGAUACAAUAAUUUUUUGGUUAUUUUUUAUGAAUGUACCCAUGUUUACACACACACACAAUAGUAUAUUUAUAUUUUAAUAUUUGUAAUCCCACAAAUUAUGUUUUUUAUUUAAAAUCUCAUUACUAUAAACAACUAUAAAUUUUAAUUUUUAAUUUAAAAAAUAUAGUAACGUACAUAGAAAUAAAUUAUCAAUUAAUUUUAGGGACUUGGAUCAAAAAUUGAAAACCAACAAAGUUUCAGUCAAAGAUUAUUCAUAACUAGGGACCGCAUCCAAAGUCUCCUUUAUUUUAUUUUUUCACUCUUAGCUAUGUAUGGAGGUACAAAGUGACAUAACUAUUUGUAGACUGGCAUCAAUAUAAAAUGAUUCUGCAAUAUGAUUUCUAAAAAGUGAUAGAGACCGGUGUAAAGGGGACAAGUGCAUCGCAUUUCUUCUACAUGCAUAAGAAGAGAUACUCUUGACUAAUUGAUUCAUGAAUUAACUUUUGAAGUCGUCUUCAACUUUUAAAAUAGCGUGAAAUCAGAAGUCAAAAAAAUAAGCAGCACCAUACAAGAAACAAGGCUUGAUGACGCAGCACUAGCGUAGAAGGAUUAAAAAUAUAAAUCCUUGAAGAAACAAAGUUUUUGGAACCCACCAGUUUGAUAGAAACUCUAAAAGGAUAAUUUGAUUAAUUGAUGAGUUGAUGAUUACAAUGGAUAACACCCAUGACUUAAAUAAGUCAUUUACAACACUUUUGGACAACUCAAAAGGCUUAGAGAAUUAAAACGAAAGUAAAUGACAUUAAUCGGACGACAAUUGAAAAGUCCAAACUUAUUACAAACUUUAUUUUUCGGUUUUGGAAGCCACAGUCACAAGAGUUGGCAAGCUCCGCACACAACCGAAGGACAUAGUUAGCUUAUUGAUUACUCAGCCUGCGUGCCACGAAUGCUUGGUAGUUUUUAAGGUCAACAAUUGUACAUUUGAGAAUGAAGGAAAAGUACAAUUGAGCCAAAUAUGUUCUUCUACAGUUUUCCUAUGGUUGGGGCCUCAACUCCAACUCGAAGUAUUUCUCCUCUUCCUUGCUUUCUCUUGAGUUAAUGAGAUAUUCCUUUUCUGAUGAGAAAAGGACUUGCAGUUUGAAAAAUGCAACAUAGACUAAAUCCAACAUGAUAAAUUUCGUUACACCCGCACUCUUGACUUAAUAUAUGUUAGGAGUUUGAAAGUCCUAAAAUGAUGAAGAAAUUGGGUAUCGAAUAAAAAUUUCGGGCCUCAAAUCCAUUGCACUUCAAACCACUGCAGGAAUUGAAAUAGAUGACUCUAAUGCCUUAAUUUGAUGCUGAGAGUCUGAAACUUUCAUCUCCUUUACUAUCUGCUGGUAACCUGUAAAUGGGUCCCGUUUAUUAGGUUUGGAUCGUGUUUCACCUGACCCGUUAAGCUAAUUAGUCACCCCCAACUCGUUAAGCUAAUGAGUCAUCCAAACUCAACCUACUAAGCUCAUGAGUCACAUGUUAACAUCAUUUUUUAUUUUUUUUUAAAUUUUGCAUUCCAAUACAAAUUACACAUUUUUUAAUUAAGAUUUCGAGCAUGAAGGUCCAACACAUUUAGAAGUACCCAAAUGCAAAGUUGAUAAGUCUUGCAAUUAGCCAUAUAAAUAUGAUAAAACCUUAUAAGAGUGUCAAUACAAAUAUCAUAAACCCUUACGGAAGGAACUCAUGAGAUCAACUAUAAAUGUGUUACAUAUAUGCAAAAAUUAACUUCUUUUUUUUCCUGUUUUUUGCGGAAAAAUUUUCAAACCUAACAUGUGGACAAACAACGGGAUGACGUGGAGCGAAUGUGACUACUGAGAUAUUAUGGUGGAACCUCAACUUCUUAAACAGAAACCCAUUAAUUGUAGAAGAAUCGUGUCUAUCAAGUGUCGAAGAGUCAUAUCAACCAAGUAAGACUAGUGGAUGGCGUUUCUUUGAUGAGAAAAGAACUUGCAGUAGUUUGAAAAAAUCAACAUAGACCAAAACCAAAGCACAAGUUCCACACAUAGGCCCGUAUCCACUCCACCGGUCGAAUUAAAACCUAAUUACUAUAUUUGGUUGCAUUCAUUAUUUUAAGAAUCGUCCGUGUAUAAGAGUCGUAUCAAACAAAUAAGACUAUAGUGGAUGGCGUUUCUCUCUUACUUGACGUUAACAAGAAUAUGUACACUUCCUAGAGACAUAUGUAGUUGGAGGAGGUUUCCCCAUGGUUGGGGCCUCAACUCCAAGUCGAAGUAUUGUCUCUUCCUUGCUUUCCCUUGAGUUAAUGAGUUACUGAGAUAUUUCUUUUCUGAUGAGAAAAGAACUUGCAGUUUGAAAAUAUCAACAUAGACCAAAACCAAAGCACAAGUUCCACACAUAGACCAGUAUCCACUCCACCGGUCGAAUUAAAACCUAAUUACUAUGUUUGGUUGCAUUCAUUAUUUGUUUAGUCUUGUCGACUUUAAGAAAAGAAGGAGUAAUUCAGUCAAUCUACACUACUCUUAAAUCCUUCUGUGCCACAUGAUCUUAGGUUACUUUCCUAUUAUUUAGGAGGGUUUACGAUUGCUUUCAUGUUUGUUAAGAAUUGCGUCUUUAUAAAUACACCAUGUAACUUCGCUCGAGUUGAGUUUGGUAAGAUGUAGUCAUUUUGUGUUAUGUAUCAAUUUUAGCAAAGUUUUGUAAUCAAUCGGUUUGUACUUCUUUUUCUCUUUCCUUCAUUUAUUUAUUUUUUACACACUUGCUCUCCAACCAUUAAUCUGGAUCUUGAGGUCGAAGAUCAGAUGGUUGAGGUCAAGUUAAGUGAUGUAAGACAAGAUAUGAGUCACUUCCUAUGAAGAAAUAUAAAUAAAAUAAAAUGUUUCAAGAGAAGAAGAAUUAAAAUUGAAAAAUAUUGGAUUCAAUAAAUAUGGAGAAAAGGCAGCAAGAAAUAUUCCGAUGUCAUAGGAAGGAACACGUCUCGAUCUUCGGGUUCUAAAGCCUGAAGACAAGGCUGCUAGUUCUGCGAAGUUCAAAUAUCAAAUUUGGCUUUCAAUGUGCCGAAUGUAGUAACCUGUAACACCUCACUUCGCCGAGAAGGUUGAUGAAAUGACCUCUACCAACAAGGACUUAAAAAUCCUUGUCGACCGAGACUUGGAUAGGUAAUCAAUCGGCCGACAAGUAGUGCUGCUUAUCCAAACUGAAGGUGCUCAUUGAUCGGCUGAUUCUAUGGCUCCAGUGUUGUUUAUCCAAACUGAAGAUGUCGUUGGUUGCCUUCACAAUGCUGUUUAUCCAAACUGAAGAUGUGUCGGUGAGAAAAAGAAAAUAAAAAUCUCAAGGUUGUUGAGAGGUUUCGCGUAGAGCGAGAGUUUGCGUAAGGUAGUUUGUGUGUUGAAUUGGAGAAGCCCUUGAAUGAUGCACUCCCUUCUCUAUUUAUAUCAGCGAGAACCCCUAUGGCCGAACUAGAAAUAUAUUAGGAUUAGAACUCCUUAAACCAAUUUGAUUAAACUUCGACCAAUCCUAAUCUUCAUAGGACUUUGAACCAAACCUUCAAACAAACUAGGUUCAUCUCCUAAUACCAAGUACUUUAGCUUUGAGACUCCUUAUUAUACCAGGAUUCAACUACUUCACCUUUAUUCGAAAUAAUCCUCUUCGUAGCAGGAUUCGGCUAACCUCGACAGGGCCGGCCCAUGACAAGAUUCUAAAUAAAAACCAUUGGGCCGAGAAUAUUUCUGAGCUCAGCCCAAAAUAUCAUUUUGGGUCCAAACAUUGGUCCAUUGCUUCUGAGGUCCUCGGCCUAAAAAUUCUGGCUGAGCCUCGACCUUGAAAAAGUGAAAUCAAACCUUUAGUAUAUCUUCGAAAGACAACGAAAAAUCUCAAAUAUUCUACCCACUCAGGUGCAUUUAUGAAGCACGAUUGCACGAUCUUAAUUUGUCAGAUGCUCUGCCACGUGGUGAUUCCUCAGCUUACUCGUCUGCCAUUAAUAAUGACAUUUGAAACGUGCAACCAUCGAAACGUCUCUUCACCAUUAAAUUUGCUGUCAUAUGCAAACGUGCAUCCUCAAUCCAUGAGUUCUUCGGUCUUCGGUCUCUUCACCUGGAUUCUUUGAAUAUCCAUCAUGAUUACAAAAUCCUCUGGUCAAUUUUACCCCCUAAGAACUAUUGAUCUUCCUCCCAAAACACCUAUAAAUACUCAGUUUUCCUUCAUUCAUACCUUACGCUUUUAAAAAUCUCAAAUCUCAUUGCCACUUGCUCUCAAUACUAGAAAAACCAACCUUCCUUUGAAACCUAUAAAACCUUCAUCUUCUUCAAUGGCUGCCAAUACUUUCAUCACCAAGUUGGUCGAGGAAUGCACUAAAUGCCAAAGCAUCACUAAUCGAAACACUAUCAAAACCAUCUGAUUUGAGGAUGAGCCAAAUGCUUCCCACUAAACCCUCGGUCCAUUGUUCAAAGACGAUGUUCCAGAAGUGAUCAUCGAAAUGCUCAAGGAGCAUUGCUUGAAACCCUUAUUCCAAGGGUAUGAUUGGUCGAAAUGGGAAUUGGCCAAACCCCAAGGCGUUUGGCCUUCGAUCACUGCGGCCUAGGUUGCCUGGUUCACUCAGAUGGAGCCACAUUUCGGCGACGAAUGGAAAGCUCUAGGCAUUUUUUAUGUCAUUAAACUCUCGACCAUCGAGAUGAGCUUAGAUCGAGAGCUCGUGAUGGCUGCUUUGAGCUUCUGGUGCUCGGCCACCAAUACGAUGGUUCUCCCCCUCGGCCCCUUGGCCCAACAGUGAUGGACAUCACAACCAUACUUGGCACCUCUCCUACCGGCCUCCCAGUCGACAAGUCUCUCUCCGGGUAUCAAUUUGACCUGGACCUGAAAACCAUUUUCGAGGAGCAUGCCAUUGAAUCCCUGACAAAGGAAAACCAAAAGCUGUCGAAGGAAGAUGCGUAUAAACUACAUAAAAAAUUCUUCAACUAUAACACCCUAAUCACUCACUUCACUGGCUCGAGAGGGGAAAAUCUUAAAAAGGGUGAACACGGGGCCUUCUUAUUCUACUGGUACAACAAAUAUAUAUAUUGUGCCAAGUCAAAUAAAUGCUUGGCUGAGAAUAUGCCUAUUGCCGAAGCCUUGGCUAGCGGUCAUGUCCUGGCCCUUAGUCCGGCCGUUCUUGCUAACCUCACCAAAACGGCCCGUUCUGGGUUUUUCAGCUCUGGUUGCAGGUCUAUUUCUCUGCGUUGCGGCCAGACCUUGCAAGUUUCAACUCUUCCGAAGCCAUAGGCCUUGAGCUGGCCUCACGACCCAUUCUUUCCCACUUGGCCAAAGAGAUCUUCAAAUAUUUCUUUGGCCUAAAAGACCUGUCGGACGACGAAUUCCAUAUUUGCCAUCGCCGAGCGUACCCCCCUUCCAUCAUCCUUCAACAUUGGCAUGGAAAGAUGUCGACGAAGCUGAUCUCCAAAAUUUCUAGGGGUCAUUUAUCAUCACUCGCAACCUGCCCUAUGGUUGCAAGGCUCGACGAGGAAGCUGGGAAGUUUAUCACCCAAACUUCUUGGCUCGUCAACUGGGUUUUCUUCAAGGAUGCCAUAUGCCAUUCCUUACUUCUCUUUCCCUCUUGAGCCGAGAACGCUUCUUCGGCUCUUCAGAGAGGGAGUGUGAAGUAGCUAAGAAGGAUUUCAAGGAGUGGUGUGCCAAAUUCAGUCUUCGACUGAAAACUCCAGAAUCCCGUUAUGCUAGCAUCUUUGCCGAUUGGUGGGAUACCUAUACUAAGGAUUUCUUCAGAACUUCGGCUGAGGAAAUCUCACAAAAGCUUUUUGGCGACGACCCCAAAAAAACUCUCGCCCUAAAAUCCAGAGAAAUGGCCCAAGGUAUAUAGCUUUCCUUUUUAUUUUUCUUACUUUUUUAUUUCGGACUUCUUUUUUAUUCAAGCUCAGUGUUUUUAGGUGAUUGGGAUGGCCACGGCUAAGAAAAAACUUACCACUCCCAUGAGGAAAACUGCAACUGUCGCACUAACCCCAUCAAGCAAACGAUUUCGUCCGAAUGCCGAGACGGUUGAUGAAGCUCCCCGGGCGAGAAAAUGUGUUAAGAAAUUGGCAAAGAAAGGGGAACAAGAGAUCCAUGUUAUCUUUAGCCAAACCAUGGGAGCAACUACUCCCAGUGCCUUUCUCAUUUCCCCUGCUGUCAAGGUCUCGGCCAUGGUGUAGGGAGACUUAGUGAUUGAGCUGGUCACCAAUCCGGCUGUCGAAUAGCCUACAACUUCAACACUGGCCGCUGCUCACGUCGAAGUCAGCCUGGCGGUUGCUACCCCGAAGAGAGCAACUUUUGUAGCAAAAAAAAAUCUCCCCCCGAAUCCAAAAAAAGCUUCAACAAUCAUCCUAGAAUAAGAGGUAUAAAAUUUUAUAAUGUUCUUUUUAUCUCGAACUCAUUGUCUAACGACUAAUCCAUUGUCUAGGAGGAUGAAAGUGAAGGGCCCCUACUGGUAAAACAUCCUCAACCAGCCGAAUUGCCGACUAUCACUUCUCAACUGGCAGUCGAGGCGGUGGAUCAAGCCGAUGCUCCCACAGCUGAAGCAGGUUUGGGUUAUGAAACACCACUCCAUGUCGAGCCAGAAGCAACAGCCGAGAUGCCGAUUCAUCUCUAGGACCAGAAUCUCAAUAUCCCUCCCCAGGAUGUUACUUUAACCUUUGUAAGAACCGUUACCAUGUCCCAUUUUCAAUUCCUAACCUUUGAAUUAUGAACCAAGAGCAACCAUGAAAAUGCCAGGUGCCUUAUCGUUCAUUUCACCGAUAAUUUUACGCGUCAAAUGGUGUUAUUUAUAUUUCUUGGUUGCUUCAAUGGCCAUCGAAUGUAGAUAGCCUCUAGCUGAUAUGGCCGAGGUCUCAUCUCGACAGGUCUAUCAUAACUUCUUUAUCUGAUAUUCUUUUGGACUCUUCUUUACUAACUUCUUCUUUGUGCAGCUUCAUGGGAAGUCGAGCUCGACGCUCUCCUCUUGAGUACUUCUGGAGUAGCCGGGCUUUCUGUUGCGUCGACCGAGCCUUCAGUAAUCGCGGUCGAAUCCAAUACCUUCGUCAAGUUUCAGGAACUUCUAUCCCUUUUAGCCUCACAAGUCCUUUAAUGUAAAGGCAUCGACUCUGUAGAAUAAUGCUUGAACGAUCUUGUAGCCGAUGGCUUGUUGAGCACCGAAAGUGUCGUCCACUUAUCCAAUAUCCUGGAGCGGACCCGACAAUACUUCGCCACUUUUGAAAGGGCUCUCCGAGCUGAGGAUAACCUUAAGUCUAUAAAGGCAGCUCAUGAUGCUAGCCAACCGAAGGUUGAAGCUAUAAAAGCAAAGAAGACUCGACUGGUUGACCUUGAUCGUCAGAUCGCCAAACUCCAGCGUCAAAGGUCGAUCGUCGCUUCAGAGCUCGAGAAAGAUUUUGAGGCGAAUAAGUCCAUCCUGACAGACCACAUAGCCAACUCAAAGCGGAUACAACAACUGCAGCUUGAUAAAAGAACAAGACAAACCGAAGUUACAAUGGGUGAAGUAAGGUGGUUGGAACUGAAAGCCGCUCUUAAAGCCUUCCUUCCUUCGACCCCUUAGGAUUUUGGCCUUAUUAACCAACUGUUGGAUUCUUUUUGUAAUUCUUGUUUGUAAGCCUUUUUGCAAAAUUAAUGAAACAAAACUUUUAUUCUCGCAUUUCCCAUUGAUUAGUAGUUUAUGAAUUAGACCAGUUCGAUCUUUAAGGUGGUAUGUCCCCAUGCCGAGAACUUUAUAGAAGACAAACGGUCCUUCCCAAUUCGGCGACCAUUUCCCAAAUUUGGGAUCUUUCAUCCCUACGGGUAACACGAUUUGCCAUACUAACUCUUCCUCGUCGAACGUUUUUUGUUUGACUUGUUGAUUAUAGGCUUGCUCGGCAAUCUUUUUUUGCACCACCAAUAAAUUAUAAGCAUCAAGUCGAGCAACCUCAAAGUCUUCUAACUCUUGUCUCAUGGACUGAUUGUAUUCAGCACUGAACAAACUACUUUGUUCAAUUACUCGUAAUGAGUUUAUACUUAACUCAACUGGUAGCAUCGCAUCGUGCCCAUAAGUUAACACGUAAAGGGUCUCCUUGGUUGCUGAUCGAGGUGAAGUUUGAUAAGCCCAUAAUACCUCAUUUAAUUUCAAAUGCCACAUGCCAGGCCUUUCUUCUAUCAUAUUUUCAAGAAUACUGAUUAAAAUCUUAUUACUUGCUUCGGCCUGUCCAUUUACCUGUGAGUAAAACGGCGGGGACUGUUCCAGUUAAAUUUUUAAACUCGCUGUGUACUUUUUGAAUCUGUUAGAUGUAAAGAUUGUACCGUUAUCCGUUAUGAUUAUUUUUGGUAUGCCGAAUUUGGUUACGAUAUUUUCUUCCCUAAAAUUACAAACUUCUUUAGACGUUAACUCGGCGUAUGACUUUGCUUCGACCCAUUUGGUGAGGUAGUCUGUUACAACAAGUAUCCACACAUGCUUAGCUGACUCGGAAGACGGCGUAAUUUUACCGAUUACGUCUAUGGCCCAUCCUCUGAACGGCCAGGGUUUGGUGACUAAGUGAAGUAAUUCGGCCGGGACUUUUUGUAUAGGCUUAUGAAUUUGACACUGUACACAUCCUUGUACGCACUCAAUACAAUCCUUCAAUAUACUUGGCCAAAGAAUCUUGAGUCCAGAUUGAUGAGCUCCGUAAAUUCCUUCGUGUACUUCUGUAAUUUCUUAAGCAGCCUCCUGUGGGCUGAGUCACAAUAACAAUAAACCAUCAUCACCCUUCCAGUACAACUUAUUCUGGUACAACACGUAAUUUAAGGCAUGGACCCUUGUCUUGCGGUCGUGUUUGUCACUGGGGUUAUCGAGAUAUCACAUGAUUGAUCUUCUUCAGUCGUCUGGUAAUGUCUUAACAGCACACACAUCUGCAGGAUCUCCUCGUUCUAACAACGAAGGUAAGGAAAUCACUCGUGUACGGAUCAAGUAGCUGUGUUGGAGAACUUAUUGAUUAACCAAGGCUGGGUGCGAUUGUCGUACUACAGGUAUAGCCCGGCCUAGCUCGCCCCCAGGAGUUAUGCUCCGAAGGCUAUUUGAGCCAGUUCGUCUGCGUCGGUGUUUCAAACACGGAAGAUGUGUUUGAAUGUGAUACCGUCGAACAACUCGGCCAAAUAAUUGGCAACCAUGUGAUAAGGCAACAGAGUACAACUCAUGCAACGGAAAGUUUCAUUGAGUUAGUUAAUCACAAGUUUCGAAUCGCUAAGGACGAGUAUGCGGGUUGCCCUCAAGUUGUGAAAGAUGCUGAGGUCGAUGAUAAGGGCUGCGUAUUCGGCCUGAUUAUUUGUACAAUCAAAAUCAAGCUUAAGAGAAAAAUACUAGCGGUGUUGAUCUCGACCGAAGUACAACUCGGUAUAAAAGACGAACUAGUUUGACUUUUAACAGCUGGGUUUAUUCGGACCUCUCGAUACGUCGAGUGGCUGGCCAAUAUCGUCCUGGUGCUAAAGAAGAAUGGUGCCCUACGCAUCUGUAUCGAUUUUCGUAAUCUGAACCUAGCAACGCCCAAAGAUGAAUACCCGAUGCCGAUCUUCGAUUUGUUAAUUGACGCCGCAGCAUACCACGAGAUCUUAUCUUUUAUGGAUGGGCAUGCUGGUUAUAACCAAAUUUUCAUCGCCGAAGCUGAUGUCCAUAAAACCACUUUUCGUUGCCUCGGGGCACUCGGCACAUACAAAUGGGUCGUCAUGCCCUUUGGCCUUAAGAACGCCGGUGCCACAUACCAACGAGCUAUAAACACUAUUUUCCAUGAUUUAAUUGGUACCAUCGUCGAAGUCUACAUCGACGAUGUGAUAAUCAAAUCAGCACGUCAGCAGACACAUUUGGAUGACCUCCGUUAGUUGUUCCUGCGCAUGCACUGGCAUAAUCUUAAGAUAAAUCCUGCCAAAUGUGCUUUUGGCGUCUCAGCCUGAAAUUUUUUAGGAUUCCUCGUCCAUCACCGUGGUAUUGAGAUGGACGACAACAAGGCUCACGCAAUCAUUAAUGCUCCACCCCAAACGACUAAGAAACAACUACAAUCAUUGCUCGGCAAGUUCAAGUUUCUCCGUCGAUUUAUUGCCAAUUCAGACGGGAAAAUGAAAGCAUUCUCCAUGCUUUUGAAACUUAAGGACUCCAACACCUUCGAAUGGCGUUCAGAACACCAAGAGGCAUUUACACAGGUCAAGGUCUCCUUAACAGUUUUGCAUGUCCUCGUCCCACCACGACGGGGCCGACCUCUUAAGCUAUAUAUCUCGGCGGCUGAAGAAUCCAUCGGAUGCCUUCUUGCACAAGACAAUGACGCUGGGCAAGAAUAGGUCAUUUUUUACCUUAGCCGAAAUCUCAAUCCACUAGAGAUUAAUUACUCUGUUGUCGAGAAGUUUUGUCUUUUGUUAGUUUUUCGCUGCGUCAAAACUCAGACAUUAUAUGCUCCCAUCAGUCACUCAAGUCAUCACCCAGGCCGAUGUCAUUCGUUACAUGCUUACUCGGCCGAUCGUAAAAGGCCGAAUUGGCAAGUGGACGAUGGCUCUCUCUGAGUUUAGCUUGCAAUAUGUGCCCCAGAAAGCUGUCAAAGGUCAUGCUUUGGCCGAUUUUUUGGCCCAACACCUUUCCUCGUAUGAGUUCGGGGGCAAUGACGUUGACAUCGGAAUGGUGGCAAUACGUGGUAAUUACUGAACGAUGUAAUUUUAUGGUUCCAGUACUUCAGUCUCGGCUAGCGUUGGGAUUGUUAUUCAAUCCCCCACUCAUAAUCGUUGGUAUUUUUCUCUCGAGCUUGAUUUCAAUUGUACGAAUAAUCAAGCCGAAUACGAAGCCCUUGUCAUCUACCUCAGUAUACUACACGAUUUACGGGUAACUCAUGUCCUUGUUCUUGGUGACUCUGAACUUGUCAUCUACCUCGAUGUACUUUUCGUUGCAUGAGUUGUACUCUGGCGCUUUACCAUAUGGUUGCCAGCUAUUUGGCCGAAUCUUUCGACGGUGUUACUUUCAAACACAUUUCACGAGUUCAUAACACUGAUGCCGACGAAUUAGCUCAAAUAGCCUCCAGAGCACAACUCAUGGGGGGCAAAUUAGGCCGAGAAAUACCUGUGUCACGACAAGCACAUUCGGCCUUAAUUAAUCAGUAAGUUCUCCAACGUGAUUGCGUGAUCCGUACACGAGUUAUGUCCUUGCCUUCGUUGUUAGAACGGAAGGACACUGUUGAGGUUUGUGUUGUCGAUGCAUUACCAGACGAUUGAAGAAGGACAAUUAUGCGAUACAUUGAUAACCCUAACGAAAAAUAUGAUCGACAGACAAGGGCUUAUGCCACAAACUACGUAUUAUACCAGAAGGAGUUGUAUUGAAAAGGUGAGGAUGGGUUACUGCUGUUAUGCCUCGGCCCACAUGAAACUGCUCAAGCAAUGGCAGAAGUACAUGAAGGAAUUUGCGGAGCUCACCAAUCUAGAUGAAAAAUGCAUUGGCUGCUUCAGCAGCAUGGCUAGUUCUAGCCAAGUAUUCUGAAUGAUUGUAUUGAGUACGCAAAGGGUACAGUGUCAAAUCCAUAGGCCUAUACAGAGAGUUCUGGUCGAAUCACUACAUUCGGUCACCAAACCAUGGCCGUUUCGAGGAUGGGCCAUGGAUGUAAUCGGGAAAAUCACACCAUCUUCUGGUGCAACCAAACAUGCGUGGAUACUCGUUGCAACAGACUACUUCACCAAAUGGGUCGAAGCCAAGUCAUAUGCCAAGCUAACCUCUAAAGAAGUUUGUAAUUUCGUUGAAGAAAACAUUGUGACUAGAUUCGGCGUGCCAGAAACAAUCAUAAUAGAUAAUGGUACGAUCUUUACAUCCGACAGGUUUAAGGAAUAUUCGGUGAAUCUAAGGAUUCGACUCGAGCAAUCUACGUCGUAUUAUCGCAGGCAAAUGGACAAGCCGAAGCAAGUAAUAAGGUUCUAAUCGGUAUUCUCGAAAAGAUGAUAAAAGAAAGGCCGGGUAUAUGGCAUUUAAAGAUAAAUGAAGCGUUAUGGGCUUAUCAAACUUCUUUACGGACAGCCACUGGAACGACUCCAUAUGGUUUGACUUAUGGAAACAACGUAAUGUUGCCAGUCGAGUUAAGUAUAAACUCGUUGCGAGUAAUUGAACAAAGUAGUUUGUUUAGCGCCGAGUACAGUUGGGCCAUGAGACAAGAGUUAGAAAAUUUAGAAGAAGCUCGGCUUAAUGCUUAUAACUUAUUAGUGGCACAAAAGAAGAUCGCCGAGGGAGAGUUGGUUUGGCAAACCAUACUACCCGUAGGAAUUAAAGACCCUAGGUUUGGCAAGUGGUUGCCAAAUUGGGAAGGGCCAUUUGUUAUUCAUAAGGUUCUCGGUAAGGGAGCAUACCAUCUUAGGGAUAAAACUAGUGUAGUUCACAAGUUGCCAAUCAAUGACAGGUUUUAAAAAAAUACUAUCCAGUCACAUGGGAGAUUCCGGAAUAAAAGUUCUUUUCAUUAAGUUCGCAAAAAGUUGUACAAAUGGAGUGGGGCGAUCAGUUAUAAUCAAAUACUUCUAGGAUGAUGAAGGUAGGAGAGAUUCAAGAAUGGCCUUCAACUCUAAUUACCGCACCUCGCUCAUCUUGACCUCAGCUUGCCGAUUCCUCUUGUCCAUCUUCAGCUGCUCGACCCGCUUCACGCUAGUUGCAUAGUCAGUUAAGCAAGACUUGCCGCUCGACUCAAAAUCUUUUGCAAGCUCGGAAGCAAUUGCCGACCUUAGAUUUUUGAGUUCGGCAAUUUGACGGUCAAGGUCGGCGAGGGUCUUUUUUUUCGCCUUUAAAACUUUGACUUAUGAACGAAGAGCAUCUCGAGCAACUAUUGCAGCUUUCAAGUCGUCUUCAGCCCGAAGAGCUUUCUCAAAAAUACCAAAAUAUUCUUGGGUUCAUUCCAAGGUAGAAGACGCUUGAGUGAUAGCUUCAGUGCUCAAUUGACCAUCAGUUGCGAGAUCGUUCAAACAUGCACCCACUGAAUCGAAGCCCUGGCAUACGAGAACUUGUGUAGCUACCGAAGAGCCAGCCACCCCUGAAGUACUCGAUAAGAGAGCAUUGAACUCGACUUCCCAUAAAGGCUGCACACGAAAAGAAUUUAAGCGAAAAGAAAAUCAUAAAAGAAUGUAGUAGAAAGAGUUUAUUUUAGACAUGCCGAGAUGAAACUUUGGCCAUGUCUCUUGGUUCGUUGCUUGAACCUAAAGAGCUUAAUGGCCGAGCCUAGUGUUUUAGACUGCUUCUUAAUUCACGCGGCCGAUGAAGGUUAUCUACGUUCGACGGCCACUGAGGUGGCCAGGAAAUAUAGAUAACACCCUUCGGCGCAUAGAAUUUUCAGUGAAAUGAAUAACUGGGCACCUGACAUUUAAUAUUUUUCUCGGUUCAGACUCAUUAUAAUACAAUUGACAAGAGAAAUUAGUCGAGCCUUACAAAAGUCGAAGUCGCUUCUUGAAAGGGAAUGUCGAGGUCUUGGUCCUGCGAGUGAACUAGAGUUUCUGACAUCGCUUCAGGCUCAAUGAAAGGCCUUUUUCCACGAUCGACUGUAGGAGGAUUGACCUGAUCGGUCGCCUCAACCAUAAGGGGAAGAUCAAUGGAAGGAGGUUUGGUUGGUCGAGAACGACUCGCCAGCGGAAUCUCAUCACUCUCGUCAUCCUAAAACAAAAGAAUUGUUAGUACUUUUGAAUUUAAAGAGUGAAGGGAGUUGCCAGUAUAAUCAUACCUCUUCUAAAAUGAUCAUUGAUUAUUUUGGAUUCUUGGGGAGAUUCUUCCCGAUCGAAGGGGUUGCCUCCCCUAGGACGGGUGCUACAGUCUGCCCCGAAGUUGCAGGCGUAUCGACCAGCGGUACAACAACUGGUUUGACCACGACCUCGAUGACCUCAGGGGCCAGGUGAGCUUGGGGUGUCAGGUUGGUUGGAGUUGGCCGUUUCUCCGUUGAGGCUUGGACAACAGGAACAGGAGGAGAGGCACUAGGAGUGGUCGCUUCGGAAGUGUGGUUGGAGAUAACGUGAAUCUCCCGUGCUUCUUUCUUCGCCAAUUUCUUGAUGCGUUUUGUGGGGCGAGGGGCUUCACCUGCCGUCUUGGUGUCAGGACGAGGCCGUUUGCUCGGUGCGUUUUGUGCGGUGGUUUUAGAUUUCUUGGAGGAAGGGGCCAGUUUUUUCUUGGCCACAGCUGGGGCGAUCACGUCUGCCUGUUUCAAUACUCGACCGCCUGAGAAAGCGAAAUCUAAUUAGUAAAAUCGAUUAAGUGUUUGAAGAAUAAAGGUAAAGAUAAUUGUAUACCCUGGGGCGUCUCUUUGGAUUGAGAGGCAAAAGUUUUUUCGGGUCGGUCACCAAAAAUUUUGUUGACUACGUUUUCGACUGAAGCACCAAAAAAGUUGUGGGUAUAUUCUUCCCACCAAUCGUCGAAGGUGUCGAUGCCGAGAGAUUCAAGAACAGUUGGUCGAAGGCGGAAUUUCUUGCACCGUUCCUGAAACUCCUUCUCGGUGUCUUUGCACUUCCUUUCUGAGGAACCAGAGAGGCGUCAUUGGCUUAAAAGGGAGUGGGAAGUAAGUAGAGGCACCGGGCAACCUUGGAGGUAGUUAAGCUGUGGGGUAGCAAAGUGGCGGUGGUAGACUUCCCAACUUGCUCGGCGAGCAUCGCAACUGAGCGCAAGGUCGUGAGUUAACACGAACGAACCCCAGUUUUGACGAAAACCAGCAUCUUCGCUUUCAUUCUAGGUUGAUGUGGGAAGUCUGAUGGAGUGAGGGUAUUCCUGACAACGACAUAUCAAAAAUUCAUCGUCAGAGAAGAUGUUUAGGCCAAAGAAGUGUUUGAAGACUUCGUCAGCUCAGUGAGGAGGCACUGGUCGAGGAGCCAACUGAUGGCCGAGUGCUACAGUGGACUGAAGGUUGGGGAUUUCUGGCCGAAGUGUGGAGAAAUAAACCUGCAGCCAGAGUUAGAAUACCCAGAGAGGUCCAUUCUGGUACGGGUCGAUCUUGGUGGCGGUCGUUUCAGCCAGGUAGCGUAGAAGGUUGGCAAGGAUAGCCGGACUGAGCACCAGAGAAUGACCACUAGCCAGGGCUUCCACCACGGUAUUUUUUCGACCAAACACUUAUUCGACUUGGUACAACAGAUAAACUUGUUGUACCGGUAAAAUAGGAAAGCCUCGUGCUCGCCCCUCCGCAGACUCACCUCCUCUCGGCCAGCAAAAUGGAGGAUGAGGGUGUUGUAGUUAAGAAAAUUCUUAUGCAACUUCUGAACUUCCUCUUUUGAAGGCUCUUGACCUUCUUGUCUCAACGUCUCGACUGCUCGUUCGUUGAAUAGUACCUUGAGGUCGAGGUUUGAUGAGCAUCCAAUAAGGGCAGCGUCUAUUGGAAUGCCAGAAUGAGGAGUCCUGAGGAUAGCCGAGAUGUCGAGGAUGGUGGGGGUGAUAGGGCCGAACGGAAGGACCAUGGUGUUGGUGGCCAAGCACCAGAGGCUUAGAGCUGACAUAAGGAGUUCUUUAUCCAUGGUAAUCUCCAUGGUCGAAACCUUAAUGGCGUCGUGGAUGCUGAGAGCCUCCCAUUCUUUACCAAAGAAUUUUUCCUUUCGUACUACCCAGGCCGCCCAGUUCGCUUUGGUCGAAGGCCAGACUCAUUGAGGCUUUGUCAGGCACCACUUCGACCAAUCAAAUCCUUGCAGCAAAUGUGCCAGGCAAUGUUCUUUGAAUAGGUUGGUGAUGGACAAUGGCACUGCGUCUUUAAAUAGUGGUCCCAGGAUUUGAUGAGUAGUGUUUAGUAGGCCUGGCAAUUGCUGACACGACCCGAUAACCCGACAUGACACGACACGAAAUUAACAUGUGUUCGGGUCGACACGAUAACGAAUCGGGUCGAUAUCGGGUAACUUGAUAAGAACCUGUUAAGAUAAUGGGUUGGUUCGAGUAUACACAUGGGUAACACGAUACACGAUAUGCAAAAUAUUAAUUUUAUAACCCUAAAAAAAAUACUAUAAUAAUUAUAUAUAUUAAAUUAACAAUUUUAUCAUUCAAUUUAUUAAGUGUUAUAUGUACAAAAUAAAUAAAUUUAAAUCUACUUAAUAAAUAUAUAUAUAUAUAUAUAUAUAUCAUUGAACUUGAUGGGAUACGAAUUCUACGAAACUAAUUUCAACGAUCUAACCAUCAAACUUGUUUGUAUAUGCUUCGAGAUCGCAUCAACAAAAAAUUAAAAAAAACAAACAUUCAGAGAUCAAGUAACGGGACAAAACUUUUCGACGGUUAUCAAUGAAAAAUCACGAUUUAAUGGUUAUUUUAACUCUGAUUUUGAUGAUGUUUUACAGCUACACUCGUUGACCCUAUAUGAAUACAAUGAAUGAACUCGAUCUUCAAUUUAAAAUAUUUACACUAAUGGAUACCACAAAAUCUUAUGUUAUACUUAAUGAAAGUUUGAAUAAACUCUUAAGUGUUAGUUAAUCUAUUGUUUUGAUGGGAUAUGCAUUAUACGAAACUAGUUUCAACAAUCCAACCGUCAAACAUAUUUGUAUAUACUUUGAGAUCGCAUGCGCCAAAAAUUGCAAAAAAUAAACAUUCAGAGAUUAAGUAAAGGGACAAAACUUUCCGACGGUUAUAAACGAAAAAUCACAAUUUAACAGUUAUUUUAACUCCGAUUUUGAUGAUUUUUUACAGCUACACUCCUUGAUCCUAUAUGAAUACAAUGAAUGAAUUCGAUCUUCAAUUUAAAAUAUCGACACUAGUGGAUACCACAAAAUCUUAUAUUAUAUUUAAUGAAAGUAUAAAUAAACUCUAAGUGUUAGUGAAUCUAUCAUUUUGAUGGGAUACGUAUUCUACGAAACUAAUUUUAACGAUUCAACCAUUAAACUUGUUUGUGUAUGGUUCAAGAUUGCAUACGCUAAAAGUCACAAAAAAUAAACAUUCAGAGAUCAAGUAACAGGAGAAAAUUUUUCGACGGUUAUCAACGAAAAAUCAUGAUUUAACGGUUAUUUUAACUCCGAUUUUGAUGAUUUUUUAUAGCUACAUUCCUUGACCCUAUACGAAUACAAUGAAUGAACUCGAUCUUCAAUUUAAAAUAUAUUACUCUAGUGGAUAUCACUAAAUCUUAUGUUAUACUUAAUGAAAGUAAGAAUAAACUCUUAAGUGUUAGUGAAUCUAUUGUUUUGAUGCGAUACGCAUUCUACGAAACUAGUUUCAACGAUCCAACCGUCAAACAUGUUUAUAUAUACUUCGAGAUCACAUACGCCAAAGAUUGCAGAAAACAAACAUUCAGAGAUCAAGUAACGGGACAAAAUUGUUCGACGGUUACCAACGAAAAAUCACGAUUUAACGAUUUUUUAACUCCGAUUUUGAUGAUUUUUUACAGCUACUCUCCUUGACCCUAUAUGAAUACAAUGAAUGAACUUGAUCUUCAAUUUAAAAUAUUCACACUAGUGGAUACCACAAAAUCUUAUGUUAUACUUAAUGAAAGUAUGAAUAAACUCUUAAGUGUUAGUGAAUCUAUUGUUUUGAUGGGAUACACAUUUUACGAAACUAGUUUCAACGAUCCAACCGUCAAACAUGAUUGUAUAUACUUUGAGAUCGAAUACGCCAAAAAUUGCAAAAAAUAAACAUUCAGAGAUCAAGUAACGGGACAAAAAUUUUCGACGAUUCUAAACAAAAAAUCACAAUUUAAAAGUUAUUUUAACUCCGAUUUUGAUGAUUUUUUAUAGCUACACUCCUUGACCCUAUAUGAAUACAAUGAAUGAAUUCAAUCUUCAAUUUAAAAUAUUGACACCAGAGGAUACCACAAAAUCUUAUGUUAUACUUAAUGAAAGAUAAAUAAAUUCUAGAGUAAAAGAUUGUUUACUACCCUCAUGUUUCGUGGUUUUCAACAUUUAGUACAUCAAGUUUUUUUUCAACCCAGAGUCAUACCUAAAGUGUAAAUUUUGGGACAGUCUCAUACAUCCGUUAGUCAAACUAUUUAGUUUUCUGUUAACUGAUAACGUGGCGCCCACGUGGACAAUGACUGGGCGCCACGUGUCAUUAAAAAUAUUAAUAUAAAAAAACCGAAUCUGGGAAGAAGAAGAAGAAGAAGAAGAAGAAGAAGAAGAAGAAGAAGAAAAAAACACGAAUCUGGGAAGAAGAAGAAAAAGAAGAAGAAGAAGAAAAAGAAAAUAAAAAGAAGAAGAAGAAAAAAAAAACCGAAUCUGGGAAGAAGAAGAAAAAAAAAAACCGAAUCUGGGAAGAAGGAAACCCGGAAGAAGAAGAAUGAGGAGGAAGAAGAAGAAGAAGAAGAAAAGAAAAGAAAGGAAAAGAAAAACGAAUCUGGGAAUGGGAAGAAGAAGAAGAAGGAGGAGGAAGAAGAAGAAGAAGAAAAGAAAAAAAAAAAAAACCGAAUAUGGGAAGAAGAAGAAGAAAGAGAGGAAAAAAAAAGAAAAGAAGCUAGGGAGGGUGCGGGUUGCAGGAAAGAAAUUUUUUUUUUAAUUUAUAUUUUUAAUAUUUUUAAUGACACGUGGCGCCCAGUCAUUGUCCACGUGGGUGCCACGUCAUCAGUUAACGGAAAACUUAACAAUUUGACUAAUGGAUGUAUGAGACUGUCCCAAAAUUUACACUUUAGGUAUGACUCUUGAAUGAAAAAAACUUGAUCUACCAAAUGUUGAAAACCACGAAACAUGAGGGUAGUAAACAGAGUUUAACCCUAAAUUCUAAGUGUUAGUGAAUCUAUCGUUUUGAUGGGAUACACAUUAUAUGAAACUAACCGUCAAACUUGUUUGUGUAUGCUUCAAGAUUGCAUACGCUAAAAGUCACAAAAAAUAAACAUUCACAGAUCAAGUAACAGAACAAAACUUUUCAAUGGUUAUCAACGAAAAAUUAUGAUUUAAAGGUUAUUUUAACUCCGAUUUUGAUGAUUUUUUUAUAGCUACACUCCUUGACCCUAUACGAAUACAAUGAAUGAACUCGAUCUUCAAUUUAAAAUAUUUACACUAGUGGAUACCACAAAAUCUUAUGUUAUACUUAAUGAAAGUAUGAAUAAACUCUUAAGUGUUAGUGAAUCUAUUGUUUUGAUAGGAUACGCAUUCUACGAAACUAGUUUCAACGAUCCAACACAUUUUACAAAACUAGUUUCAACGAUCCAACCGUCAAACAUGAUUGUAUAUACUUUGAGAUCGAAUACGCCAAAAAUUGCAAAAAACAAACAUUCAGAGAUCAAGUAACGGGACAAAAAAUUUUGACGGUUAUCAACGAAAAAUCAUGAUUUAACGGUUAUUUUAACUCCGAUUUUGAUGAUUUUUUACAACUACACUUCUUGACCCUAUAAGAAUACAAUGAAUGAAUUCAAUCUUCAAUUUAAGAUAUUUACACUAGUGGAUACCACAAAAUCUUAUGUUAUACUUAUUGAAAGUAUAAAUAUACUCUAAGUGUUAGUGAAUCUAUUGUUUUGAUGGGAUACGCAUUCUACGAAACUAAUUUCAACGAUCCAACCAUCAAACUUGUUUGUAUAUGCUUCAAGAUCGCAUACGCCAAAAAUCGCAAAAAACAAACAUUCAAAUAUAAAGUAACGGGACAAAACUUUUCGACGGUUAUCAACUAAAAAUCACGAUUUAACGGUUAUUUUAACUCUGAUUUUGAUGAUGUUUUAUAGCUACACUCCUUAACCCUACAUGAAUACAAUGAAUGAAUUUGAUCUUCAAUUUAAAAUAUUUACACUAGUGGAUACCACAAAAUCUUAUGCCAUGAUGAUUGAUGAAAAUUGAGGAUUUUGUAAAAGGAAUAACAUGCAAGCUUUGAGUUCCAUUGGCAAGGUUUAAACUUUUGAGAAAGGCUUCACAACCUUGAAAGCAAAAACUUUUUCAUUUUGCGUAUCCUUGCACAUUUAAUAUUUUGUAAUAGACUAGUAGUGUAUGGAUGUUUGUUUAUUAGGCUCUUAUUUUCGAGUGUAGAUGUAGUACUUAAACGACAAAUGUGUUUUAAUGUUUUGAAGUAAUAUUUAUGUGGCAAUGUGUGGUAUGUGCAAAUUUGAGAAGAAAAAAAAUAUUUUUCUUAACAAGUCUUAAUGGGUCAUAACAGGUCGGGUCACUUUACCCAUUGGGUAAAGUGACCCGACCUGUUAAGGAUCCGUUGAGAUAACGGGUGUGACACGACACGACCCGUUAAGAUAACAGGUAUUACACGAAAACAACACGAACACGAUAGACACGACCCGUUUACCAGGCUUAGUGUUUAGGUCACUCUCGAAGUGCAAAGUCUUGAUGGCGUUCCGAUCGAUGAAGUCCUUGCACUUGUUGCUCUCGUUGGAGAGCUGGGAGAUGAAGGAGGCCAUUGAAGAAGGCUUAAAGAUUUCUGAGAUGAAAGCUUGGGAUUUUCUAGGUUUUGAAAGUUUUGAAAGCAAAGUGGCAAGGAAGUUUCAAGGGUUUUGGAAAGCGUAAGGUACAAAUGGAAAGGAUUCGGGUAUUUAUAGGCAUUUGGGAAGGAAGGCUAAACGUUUGAUUUUCAAAAUUAUGGAUAGAAUCAAGCGGGAAAGUUGCUAAUCAUUGUAGAUAUUCAAAGAAUCUAGGCGAAAAGACCAAGGUUUUCGCUGUUCGAGGACGCACGAUUGCGUGUUGCGGCGGGUUUAGUGCAAGAGAGACAUUUAGGCGGUCGCAUGUUUUUGAGGGUCAUGAUUAAGGCCUGCUAGGUUAACCAGGGGACCAACAUGUGGCAGGACGGUUGGGAGAAUCGAGAUCGUGGGUUUAUGUCUCAUAAAUGCGUAUGGUGGUAUUUCUCAAGAGGAUUCAGUGUUUGUCUUUAGGUCAGUUUCGCUUCUUCAAGGUCGAGGCUCGAACCAAGGAGGGUAGGUCGAGGACCUCAGAAUCGAGGGGGCAAUGUUUGGGCCCAAAAUAUUGGUUUGGGCUGAGUUUAGAAUUGUUUUCGACCAGAGGCCAUACUUAAGAGUAGCUGGGGGUCAUCCGACUUAUGGGCCACAUAGCCAAGGUCGGCCGUGUCUUAUUAGGAAUCCAUGGGUAGUUGAAUCCUGAUAUGAGAAGGAGUUUCAACAGGAUCAGGAUGUUGAAGUUUGGGAUUGAAUGCGGCCUGAUAAGGGGGUUGAGUUCAAAGUCCUAGUAUGAGUAGGACUUGCCGAUAUAAGGUUGGAUCGGGGGAAGGAGUUCUAAUCCGAGUAUGGUUGUGAUUUGAUCGGAAGCAGGUUGACUACUAUAAAUAGAGGGAGAAGGACAUCAUUAAGGCUCUCUCCAAUUCAACACACAAACUGCCCUGCGCAAACCUUCGCUUUCGCGAAACCUCUCAACAACCUUGAGAUUUUAAUUUUCUUUUUCCGUCGACACAUCUUCAGUUUGGAUAAACAGCACUGUGAAGGCAACCGGUGGUACCUUCAGUUUGGAUAAACAACAUUGUCGUUGUAGAACCAGUCGACCACGGAACACCUUAAGUUUGGAUAAACAGCACUGUGUCGAGGUCGACUGGUUAUCUAUCCAAGUCUCGAUCGAAAAAUACUUUCGGGUCUUUAUUGGCAAAGGUCAUCUCAUUAGCCUUUUCGGCGGGGUGAGGUGUUACAGUUUACUAGGGCUCGGCACAUUGAACGCCGAGUUACUUUAUGAUUGGAUACUCACAAGUAGGUUUUAGAGUUCGGCAUUCUGACGGCCGAACCACGUUCACCAUCAAGACAUAUAUUUGUUUUGAGUAUCUGUGCCCCUAUACAUUGGUGUUGAUUCGGCGUGCUUAUACUCUUACGAAUAUAAUCACUGUGACCGAAUCCGACGCUGACGAUUUGUGAACUUCGCAGAACUAGCAGCCUUGUUUUCAAGCUCUAGAACCCGAAGGCUGAAAGUGUUCCUUCCUCGACCACAAUCACAAGAUUGAGAAGUCAGUAGCGCACCCGACGCAACAUCAACAUAUUUUACUCCUCGGCCGAGCUUGGCUGACGAGUUGGCACGCCCCGCAUCAACCAAAUGACGUAGUUAGCUCACUAGUUACUCGGCCUGCGCGCCACAUAGAUUUGGUAGUUUUUAGGGUCAACAACGACAUAUAUGCACCAACUUGAGCGGGAGUGUUGACUUUUGUGUAUAUUCAUGUAAUCUUGGAAUUCUUAGCAUAGUAUGAUUGCAUGUAAUUAUUUCUUUCCUUAUUGAAAUGAUUGUAACAUCCUAUAAAUUUCUCUUUGAGAGAUAAAUAGACACACAAUACUAUUCCAAAAGCAUUCUUUUCUAAUAUAAAGUCUAAACUAAUCUAAAGUAUUCUUAUGAACAAAUAAUGAAUGCAGCUAAACAUCAAUCAAUCAUUGUUGUCAUGUCAUGUUUUUGCAACUUGCAAAGAAAGAACCAUCCAUAAUAAUUAACCGGUGUAGUGGAUACUGGCCUAUCUGCGUGGAACUUGUGCUUUGGUUUUGGUCUAUGUUGUUUUUUUCAAACUGCAAAUUCAUUUCUCAUUAGAAAAGAAAUAUCUCAUUAACUCAUUAACUCAAGGGAAAGCAAGGAGGAGAUAAUACUUCGGCUUGGAGAUGAGGCCCCAACAAUAGGGACACCUCCUCCAACUACAUAUGUCUCUAGGAAGUGUAGAUAUUCUUCUUGACGUCAAGUAGGAGAGAAACGCCAUCCACUAUAAUCGUACUUGUUUGAUAGGACUCUUCUACACUUGGAGGAUUCUUCUACGUUUAUUAAUUGUAUGUUAGAUUAAGAAUAUAAUUUCAUGUAAGAAUACACGAUUUAAUGCCUGGUCAUGGAUUAAGUCAUUUUUUUUUAGAUAAAGAAUGACGACCUUUAGCAUUGGCAUAGUAAUUGAAUAAAAAUUGCCCUCAUGCUUGCCCCUAAAGUACUAUUGUUGAUCUUGUGUAGUUGCAAAUAUUUAAUUGUGUUUGGUUUUAUCUGUUUUGUAUGUACUCUGAUCAUACAUAAGUAAACAUUCGUCCAAAGACAGUUUGAUUAGCAGAUUAUAACUCAAGUAGUUAAGAGCAUUCAGUUCUGCACUUGAGAUCCAUGAUUCAUUCCACCCUUCCCAAUGUCAAUCAUACAAUAAGGAAAGAUAUCGUCUCCGGAUCUCUUCCUCUAAAACCAUCAAAUCAAGUGAUUUGAGCCCUUAAAAUUUGAUCCAACGACUAAAAACAAAGAUCCCUUUUAAAAGUUAUAACAAUUUUAGCCGUUGGAUCAAAUUUUAAGGGUCCGGAUCACUUGAUUUGGUGAUUUUGGUGGAAGAGAUUCGGAGAGGAUCUCUUUCCAAUGAAUAAAUAAAGUUGACCAGUUCCAUCUGAUCUUUGAUGGUAUGCACCAUGUUCUGAAACAUAUAGUACAACCCAUUAAAAAUGAUGAAGAUCAAUGGUUUGAGGCCAAGUGUUAAAAACUGCAGAUUGACUAUUCUGUGUUCUAAAGUCAAGUCAAGAAGUCUUGAUCAAUAACGACAUGCAACAACAUAUUAAUUCGAUUGCAAAAAUUUCAUCUUUGUUGUAAAUAGUAUAAUAAUGUAUGCCCACAUGCAUACAGUAGACAUAUCAUAUGCUUAAUAGGGUUUUUGUUUGUUUCCAUGGUGAUGCUCUAUAAAUAGAGCUUUACGAACGUUCAACUGAGUAGAGAGAAAAGGAAGAGAAAAAUAUCUAAUAGUAAUAAUAUACAUUACUUCCUCUGCAACAGCUUGUAUUGGUAUAAUACUCUGCAACUGCUUCAUUCCUAUCCCGAAUAAAGGUUAUCUUUCUAUAACUUUUACAUUUUUAUAACACGUUAUCAGCACGAGUCUCUAAGUAUAACCAUGUCUCAUUUACAUUCACUAAACAAUAAAGGAAAUCAUUCUCUCAUUUCUCUCCGCCGAACGAAAAAAAAAAAAAUGUUUCCUCUAAGGUUUUUCCUGUUCAUCUUCUUCAUCUGCCUCAACUGCGUGAUAUAUCCUCGCGACGAACUAUUUGCUCCAUGCCUGCUCGUAGUUCUCCAACUAGCGGUUACAUACAUCUUUGAUUACUUGUUUGGUUUGGAUAUUGAUUACUAACAUAAUAUUUAUAUUGAUUUUACUGCAAUCCAAGAUGGUGCGGUACAAUCGCCCACCUUGAACUGCAAAUUUCAUCUUACUGCGAUCCAAGAUGGUGCGGUAUCAUCGCCUAUCUUGGACUGCAGAUCUACUUUUACUGCAAAUUUCAGGUGCAGCGGUAUAAUCGCCCUCCUUGCUCUUCAAAUUUAAAUUUACCUGUUAUUUAAUUUUACUGCAAAUAAAGGUGGAGCGGUAUAAUCGCCCUCCUUGCUCUUCAAAUUUAAAUUUACCUGUUAUUUAAUUUUACUGCAAAUUUCAGGUGGAGCGGUAUAAUCGCCCUCCUUGCUCUUCAAAUUUAAAUUUACCUGUUAUUUAAUUUUACUGCAAAUUUCAGGUGGAGCGGUAUAAUCGCCCUCCUUGCUCUUCAAAUUUAAAUUUACCUGUUAUUUAAUUUUACUGCAAAUUUCAGGUGGAGCGGUAUAAUCGCCCUCCUUGCUCUUCAAAUUUAAAUUUACUUGUUAUUUAAUUUCAUUGCAAUUUUAGGUGGUGCGGUAUAAUCGCCCUCCUUGUUCUCCAAAUUUAAAUUUACUUGUUGUUUAAUUUCAUUGCAAUUUUAGGUGGUGCAGUAUAAUCGCCCACCCUGCUCUGCGUAUUUCAAUUUUCUUGCUACUUGAGUGGUGUGGAAUAAUCGCCCAUUCCAUGUUACAUUCUUUCAAUGAGAAUGGUGCGGUACAAUCGCCCUUCUCAUUCACCCUGAAAAUCUCGAGCCAGAAGUUUCGAGUGCUUAUCAUUUUGGCCUGAAGAUCAAAAUGAAAAAUUUGUAAGAACCAGAAGUUCUAACAUCACAUUCCUCUAGGAAUACAUAUUACUACAAGUUCUUACACAUCUCAUUUUCUUUCAGAAAAGAAAAUGACGAACUUGGCUAAGCUUGAAUAUGCUGCCCUGGACAUUACCGGGAAGAAUUACCUUACUUGGGUACUUGAUACCAAGAUCCAUCUGGAAGCAGGGAAUCUUGGAGAUACCAUCAGGGAAGAAAGCAGCUCAUCUUCUCAAAAUCGGGCGAAGGCUAUGAUCUUUAUUCGCCGCCAUCUUGAUGAGGCACUAAAGAGUGAGUACUUAACGGUUGAAGAUCCGUUAGCUCUCUGGGAGGCCUUACGAAGCAGAUAUAAUCACCAGACAACGGUGAUUCUUCCAAAAGCUCGCUAUGAGUGGUCUCACCUGAGAAUUCAGGAUUUCAAAUCAGUGGCGGAGUACAAUUCUGCGUUGUUCAGGAUUACCUCUCAGAUGAAGCUCUGUGGGGAUACCAUUACUGAUGAAAUAUUGCUGGAAAAGACUUACAGCACAUUUCAUGCCAAUAACGUGCUCCUGCAGCAGCAGUAUAGAGCGCGAGGCUACACUGAAUACAACCAGCUGAUAUCUGUGCUCCUGGUAGCUGAACAGAACAAUGAGCUCCUGAUGAAAAACCAUAAUUCCCGACCUACUGGAUCUGCACCAUUCCCAGAAGUAAAUGAUACUUCCCUCGAAGUGAACGCCACAUCCUCUGGUGGUAAUUAUCAUAAACAAGGACGUGGCCACAAACGAGGUCGAUGGAAUAAGAAAGGCAAGAACCAUGGUGGUCAGUUUCACAACCAGGUUCAGAGGCAUAAUUCUGGCCCGAGCUUCAAAAAUGUGAAUCGUCACAAAGGCAAAGCUAACAUGACCAAUGCUCCCAGGAACUCUGAAGGAGCUUGCCAUAGGUGUGGUGGCAAUGGGCAUUGGGUGCGAACUUGUCGUACCCCAAAACAUCUGGUGGAGUUGUAUCAAGCCUCCCUCAAGAAGAAGGGUGUCGAGACCAAUUUUCUCGACCAGGCUAAACCAAUGGAUAUACCUGAUCCAGUGUUUGAUUUAUCAGGGCAAUUUGACGCAACUCACCUAGAUGUUUCAGACUUCAUUACGGAAAGGGGGAAUGAAGUAUAUCGGUCCGACUAAAUCGUUUAUGUUUGAUGUACUUUUAUUAUGCUGAACUUGUUGUCUAAAACUAGUUUUUCAGAUUCAAUAAAAAUGGCAUGUAAAUUUCCUGUUAUAAAUUGUUUGUUAACUGUGAUUCCAUUUACUCAGAAAGCAUGGAUAAAAACUGUGGUUAUUCUCAGAACAUAAGAAAUGGCGGAGAUAUUUGUCUUGCAGACAGUGCAACCACACAUACAAUACUUCGUGAUCGAAAGUAUUUCUCAAGCUUAAUGCUUACAAAAAUCGGGGUAACAACAAUAUCAGGACCUUCAGAUGUGAUUGAAGGCUCAGGGAAAGCCCAGAUUAUGUUACCAAAUGGAACAAUAUUAUCCAUACAAAAUGCAUUGUAUGCUACUCGAUCUACUCGAAAUUUGUUGAGUUUCAAAGACAUACGUCUAAAUGGAUACCACAUUGAAACGAAAAGUGCAAAAAAUGUGGAGUAUCUAUGCAUUACCUCCAAUGAUACCCAGAAGCGUAUAUUGGAGAAGUUGCGUGGUUUUUUCGAGUGGAUUAUAUUAUACAUACAUAAGGACAGUUGAAUCACAUACUAUCAUGAACCAGAAGUUCACUGAUUCAAAGGUUUACAUGCUUUGGCAUGACCGUCUGGGUCAUCCAGGAUCCACCAUGAUGCGUAGGAUCAUUACCAACUCUAAUGGACAUCCAUUAUUGAGCAGAGACAUUGCUAUCUCAAAUGAUAACCCUUGCAAGGCUUGUUCUCAAGGGAAGUUGGUAAUUAGACCAUCACAACUAAAGGUUGAUGCUGAAUCCCCAUCAUUUCUACAAAGAAUUCAAGGGGAUAUAUGUGGACCUAUUCAACCAUCUUGUGGACCAUUUCGAUAUUUUAUGGUUUUGGUUGAUGCAUCCACUAGAUGGUCACAUGUUUGUCUCUUGUCUACUCGGAAUGUAGCUUUUGCGAGACUUCUUGCUCAGAUAACUAAGUUACGAGCACAAUUCCCAGAUUAUCCCAUUAAAUCAAUCCGACUUGAUAACGCUGGUGAAUUUACGUCUCAAACCUUUGAUGAUUACUGCAUGACAUUGGGCAUUGAUGUUGAACACCCUGUUCCUCAUGUCCAUACUCAAAAUGGCUUAGCAGAAGCAUUGAUCAAGCGGCUUCAGUUAAUAGCCCGCACUCUGCUUAUGAAAACCAAAUUGCCAGUUUCUGCAUGGGGACAUGCCAUUCUACAUGCUGCAUCAUUGGUUCGAUUGAGACCUAUAGCCAACCACCAAUACUCCUCAAUACAACUCGUGUUUGGACAUCAGCCAAACAUUUCACAUUUACGAGUUUUUGGUUGUGCUGUUUAUGUGCCUAUUGCACCCCCGCAACGCACUAAAAUGGGACCUCAGCGUAGACUGGGAAUUUAUGUGGGUUUUGAUUCACCAUCUAUUAUUAGAUAUUUGGAACCCUUGACAGGUGAUAUGUUUACAGCUCGUUUUGCUGAUUGUCAUUUUGAUGAGACAGUCUUCCCAUCGUUAGGGGGAGAAAAGACCGUUCCAGAAGAACGGAAAGAGCUGACAUGGGUUGUUCCCACCUUGUCUCAUUUUGAUCCUCGAACCUUUCAAUGUGAAAAUGAAGUGAAAAGGAUCGUUCAUCUUCAAAGCAUUGCCAAUCAAAUGCCAGAUGCAUUUAAUGACGCUAUGAAAGUGACAAAAUCGCAUAUACCAGCUGCAAAUGCACCUGCCAGAAUUGAUGUCCCUGUUGGACAAAAUAAAGUGGCAGCGAAUGAUUCAUUUGGUGCACGCUUGAAGCGUGGUAGACCACCAGGUUCAAAAGAUUCAGCCCCUCGGAAGAGAAAGACGAGGGCACAACUGAAUCCAAAUGAAAUCAUUCAGGAAGAGAGAGUCAAUGACAAAUCCACAAUUCAUGCCUCUGGACUUCCAGAAGAAGAAAAUGGCCCUGAAGAGACAGAAGUACAUGAAAGCAAAGAAAUCUCCAUAAAUUAUGCAUGUACUAAUGAAUUGUGGGAUCGGAAUGAAAUAAUCAUUGACGAUAUGUUUGCAUUCGCAGUAGCCACUGAAAUCAUAUUAAGUGAUGAUAUUGAGCCCCGCUCUGUUGAUGAAUGCAAACAGAGACAAGAUUGGCCUAAGUGGAAAGAUGCAAUCCAGGCAGAAUUAAAUUCCUUGGAAAGACGAAGUGUUUUUGGACCAGUAGUCCAAACCCCAACUGAUGUAAACCCCGUAGGUUACAAAUGGGUAUUUACAAGGAAACGCAAUGAGAAAAACGAGAUUGCUAGAUACAAAGCACGACUCAUUGCACAAGGCUUUUCACAAAGACCUGGAAUUGAUUAUGAGGAGACAUACUCUCCUGUAAUGGACGCAAUUACGUUCCGUUACUUAAUAAGUUUGGUGAUUUCAGAAAAACUUGACAUGCAACUUAUGGAUGUCAUCACCGCGUAUCUAUAUGGAGAUUUAGAUACUGACAUAUAUAUGAAAGUCCCAGAAGGACUUAAGUUGCCUGAAGCAACAAACAAACCACGGGGUAUGUUCUCAAUCAAAUUAAGGCGAUCACUAUAUGGGCUGAAACAAUCUGGGCGAAUGUGGUAUAAUCGUCUUAGUGAGUAUUUGAUUAGAGAAGGAUAUAUCAACAAUGUCAUCUGCCCUUGUGUGUUCAUUAAGAAAUCCAACUCUGGAUUUGCUAUAGUGGCAGUAUAUGUUGAUGAUAUGAACUUAGUUGGGACUCCUGAAGAGCUCCAUAAAACUGCUGAAUAUCUGAAAAGCGAAUUUGAAAUGAAAGACCUUGGGAAAACCAAAUAUUGUCUAGGCCUGCAGAUCGAGCAUUGUAUUAGUGGAAUUUGGUCCAUCAAUCAGCUUACAUUGAAAAAAUACUGAAGCGAUUUGGCAUGGACAAGGCUUAUCCACUUAGCACCCCAAUGGUUGUUCGUUCUUUAGACGUUAAGAAAGAUCCAUUCCGUCCAAAAGAAGAUGAUGGACUGGUCCUUGGUCCAGAAGUACCAUAUUUGAGCGUAAUAGGUGCUUUAUUGUAUUUAGCACAAUGUACUAGACCAGAUAUAGCUUUUUCAGUUAACUUGUUAGCCAGGUACAGCUCUGCUCCAACAAUUCGUCAUUGGAAGGGAGUCAAAGAUGUUCUACGAUACCUUCGUGGGACAACAGAUAUGGGUCUCUUCUACUCAGACAAGCCCACAAAUGAACAAAUCCUUGUUGGAUACGCCGAUGCUAGUUUUCUCUCUGAUCCGCAUAAAGCCCGCUCACAAAAUGGAUAUGUGUUCACUAAUGGAGAUACUGCAAUUUCAUGGCGAUCAACGAAGCAAACGCUAGUUGCAACAUCUUCCAAUCAUUCGGAAAUAAUUGCUCUACAUGAAGCAAGUCGUGAAUGUUCUUGGUUAAGAUCAAUGAUCCAUCACAUCCGGAAUUCAUGUGGUCUACCUUCAAAGACAGACACUCCAACUGUCAUCCACGAAGAUAAUGCAGCCUGUGUCGCCCAGAUGAAGGAAGGAUUUAUCAAAGGUGAUAAGACUAAACACAUAUCUCCAAGAUUUUUCAGUGCACAUGAGCUUCAGAAGGCUAAAGUUAUUGAAGUCAGACAAAUCCGUUCCAAUGAAAAUUUAGCAGACUUGUUCACCAAGUCUCUACCAAAGUGCAUAUUUCAGAAACUGGUGCAGGGAAUCGGAUUACGUCGGCUUUCAAAUUUAAAGAAUGCAGAAUCAGGGGGAGAUCCAAUUCAGGGGGAGCAUCCAUGAUACAUGCAUGUUGUACUCUUUUUCCUUCGCUUAGGAUUUUUCCCACUGGGUUUUUCCUAUCAAGGUUUUAACGAGGCAACAUAAGCAUGCUCAAUACCAUCCGGAUAAAAGUUGUACUCUUUUUCCUUCGCUAUGGUUUUUUUUUUCCCACAGGGUUUUUCCAAGCAAGGUUUUAAUGAGGCAACUGAUGUUGAUAUGUGGGCAUCCAAGGGGGAGUGUUGUAAAUAGUAUAAUAAUGUAUGCCCACAUGCAUACAGUAGACAUAUCAUAUGCUUAAUAGGGUUUUUGUUUGUUUCCAUGGUGAUGCUCUAUAAAUAGAGCUUUACGAACGUUCAACUGAGUAGAGAGAAAAGGAAGAGAAAAAUAUCUAAUAGUAAUAAUAUACAUUACUUCCUCUGCAACAGCUUGUAUUGGUAUAAUACUCUGCAACUGCUUCAUUCCUAUCCCGAAUAAAGGUUAUCUUUCUAUAACUUUUACAUUUUUAUAACAAUCUUUGCAAAACUUUGCACAGAAAGAUCAACAAUUCGGUUUUCCAUUGAUAGAGAUAUUGAAAAAUGGAGUCUCUACAAUAGUCCAACUCUUUGGUAUUGGGCCCACAAAAUUGAGAAGUGGAUUUUCAGGUUGCAAUUUUUUUUGACAAGAGCGAUGGCGGUAUUUCAUUAAUCAUUACAAACAAAUACAUAGAAGUCAAUUGGGUACAUUUCUCCAAUGACCAAUACAUUGAUCUGGAGUGAAUUUGCACAAAGAAUCAAUUAAUUAAAAACCCCUACACGGCUAUCACAAGCAAGGUGCACCAAUACAAAUUUGUCACAAGAAUGAUACACGCAACAAACCAAUACUAGUGCACACACCGAUGUUCACUGAUGAGCGAGGCCACACAAAGUCAUCAUAGGAGAGCGAAACCACCUAAAGUCACAACUGAAAGACGAAACCACAAAAUCAUUGCUUGAAGGCGAGACCACAUCAAUACGCUCAUAGCGAGUCCACAUAUUCCGCCAAAUGCGGCACAAACAAAAUCUACACUAAUCCAAUAAUAGAAUCCACCGGUCCCCUAAUCUUGGUGGAAGACAAGGACACACAAUCGAAGACCACUUGCAACUUCACCACAUAAGUGAGAUUCGUAGCUUCUACGAGACAAGCAAGCAGAACCGCCACAAAUCUGGGUGCCUCAGGCAGUGCAGCCACACGAGAGUGUCACCACAGGUGGAUUCGACCCACCAACAACCACGAAUCCAAAUCCAAAAUCAUGAAUCAAGCCUCCAUUUAAGGAAAAUACCUCGGGAGAAGGCAAGGGACCGAAUCUAGGUGGGAGGCACCAAAUGCUUUGAUACCAUUCUACCAUGCUCCAAACUCGGGUCAGUAGAAAAUUCAAACUCGAAUCUGGAACACGAGCUAAAAAUUAAAUAAAUAAAAAUAAACUAAAACCUGAUGAAAAUAAAUUCCUCUUGGAAAGAAACUCAAGAAUUGUCAUGCCCCGAUCCCGACAUACGUCCAGGAUCGACACGUGACAUCACCAAAUACUCGUAUCUCAACAUACCCCGCCUCCGGGAUAUGGCAUACCACAACUCGAUAAUCAAAUCACAUAGUAAUUUAUCUUAUACUUUAUGGCUGCAUCUAAUCUCCUCGUUAGAUUGCCUACGUACCCUCAUUAGGGAUCAAACCAUUCGUAGUUCGUCGUUCACUAAUUUAGACAUUUAUUCCAAUGCGUUCUAACAGGAAUACAUAGCAUUUUGUAAUUAAUUAUUAGAACUUGACAUGCAUGACAAUACCAAGUUCAAGGCUACAAAACAAACCAACAGGUAGUUCAAGAUUCUCAUUCCAUCCAUCAUAUAAAUUCCAUGUUUUCAGCAUGAUACUUCCAUCCACAACAUGUAACAUAUCAAAUAGCCAACGAUACACAUAUUAUUCUCAAGCCACAUUCCACAAUCCCGUCUAUUAAUCAAUUCAUGAAUCAAAGAUACAUGAUCUUAGCAUUUAAUUAUGUUAAUCAAUGAAUGCAGUAACAUAUCAUUUCACAAAUUUAACCAAGGAACUCUAUAUAAUUUCCUACUUGUAUUAUGAGCAAUAACAUGGUAAAUCUAUUUGAUAUUCACAAGGUCUAUUGUGGGUAAUUCUCAUUCACUCGAAUAUAGGGUUCUAGACUAACCUUAUGGGAAUGAGCGAAAGCAAGAAUUCCGGACCACUCAACGGAAUCCAACAACACCGGGUUCCGGACCACUCAACGGAACCAGAGUAUUAAGCGGUUUCUCAUAAUCUACCCAAACCUGUCAUAGGUUAAAUCAGUGCCUACAUCAUGGAAAUGGUGCACCAUCCAAACGGAGCUCGGGUGAGUGACAAUAAUACAAGUAUGUGAUAUUCAAUAAAAAGAAAGACCCUCGAUCACAGUUUAUAAACCUCAAAUAUAAGUGCAUAAAUAUGAAAACAUAGUCAAGUCUCUAACAACUCCAAAUGAGUUACCCAGACAUCCAACAGUUUUACCCAUUCAAACCACCAAGAUUCUUCAAAACCAUCGUUCAUAUGUACAUUAAAAACUAGGGCUUGAGGGAUGCAGUUUGGCCAAAGCCUACAUAAGUAACCAAACAGGAAGUGGCCCCCUAAAGCGGAUUAACCAAGCAAAGCCACCCCUAAGAUAGUAACCAAGUAGGCAAUGAUCCCCCCCAAUGCAGAUUAACCAAGCGGAGUCACUCCUACAGCUGUUAGGAAGUGAUCACCUAAUACGGAUUAACCAAGCAUGAUCAUUCCUAAGCAUACAUGGCCAUAAGGAUCACCCAACACGGUUUAACCAAGAGCAACCCAUAUAUAGUAUGGUCCCCCAACGCGGAUUAACCAAGCAGGACCACUAGUGACCCCCCAACGCUGAUUAACCAAGCAGGGUCAAGAUAACCAAGUAGGUAGUGACCCCCUAACAAAGAUUAACCAAGCAAAGUCACACCUACAUAACUGUUAGGUAGUGAUCACCCAAUGCGGAUUAACCAAGCAUGAUCACCCCUAAGUAUAAAUGACCAUAAGGAUCGCUCAACGCAGAUUAACCAAGCGUGAUCCAUAUAUAGUAUGAUCCCCUAAUGCGGAUUAACCAAGCAAGACCACUAGUGACCCCCCAAUGCGGAUUAACCAAGCAGGGUCUUAGUCCCCUACUAGCCCUCAAUUUACAAAACAUUUCAAUAUAAAAUUUGAAUCACUUUUUCACAAAUAUUACCAAUCCAUGAAUCAAAUCAUAUUUAAUAAAAAUAGAUCGAUGGCCAAUUAUAAAAGAAUCACAUUUUAACAGAAAACACAUUUAUAAAAUCAUGUCAUAUCCACAAAGGAUAUUAAUACAAAGAAUCGGGUAACCACCAUAUCACAUAUAUUAAAGUCAGUCACCGAGACAAAUCCGCAAAUCUUCACUGAGUCUCUAGUAAUACUAAUUUUAGUAAUUCAAAUGGUUCAAGACCUGUUGACCAAAAGUCAACGGUGGGAUCCACACCCUAGCAAUUUAAUCCGGAAGAUCCGCACAUUAUAAUCUAGAUCCGUAACUUCCUAAGGUCCACAUUAUGCUCAAAGAACAACAUGCUAAAAUCUCAUCGCGAUCCAACGGUCAGAUCUCCGCUAAUCACAAAUUCAAGUGGGUCAAUAAUUAAUUUUUCUAACUUAAAAGUCUUGUCGGGAUGAUCCAUACUUCGGAUUCCUGAUCCGUCAAUUCCAGCUAUCCUCAAAUAUUAUGUUCUAUAAUGCAUUAAGGUUUGGUGACAAUCUAACAGUCGGAUUGUCAAUUCAUAUUUUGAUCAAGUAAGGUAUCGUAAUGAAACUAAGUUCAAACAAUCAAAUUACGUCAUACGGAUAUCAAACAUGAACUCAGGGCAUCUAAUAGCACUUAAAAAAAUAUCGUCAGCCCACUGGCCACGCGCCACCGCGGGUGGCGGUCAACCGUCCCGAUUCGUCGGAAAAUUCAACUAUUUCCAAAAUUUAUCAAAUUUCACAGAAAUGUAGAUCUCAAUGAAUGGAGUAAGUUUCAUACAUGUGGCCAAGUCCAAUUUGGCCUAGAAAAGCUCCAAUUUUACCCAAACCCGGCCGGAACCCUAGAAAUGGGUGUGCCUCGAUCUGUCACCAUCGAUGCUCCGCCGCCCCCAGAACUGUUUGGGCUUUGUUCCUGGCCUCUAGAGAAGUGCUUUGGUGGUGGUAACUGGUGGAGAUUGUUCCACAAAUGGUGGAUCGCCGACAAACUUCCCUCAUACCCACUAGUGCGGUUAUCACGAAAUCGACCUAAUUUCCAUCAAAUUUGGAGUGUAAAGGAAAGAUGGAACAAUAAGGAAUGUUUUCUAGGUGAUUAAAUCAUGUGGUUCUCCGGAAAAACCGACAAAAACCAUCGGAGAAGACAAACGGAACCGGCCGGAUCGGGAUAAAGGGAACGGGUCCAUCCUCCCGUGCCUUUCCCCUCUCCCUCAUUUUCCUCAUUUCCUCCCCUUUCAUCUCAACCAUCCAUCUCUCUCCUUUCUCUUCUUUCCUUCCAUCCCAGCCACACAAGUGGCUUCACAAAUCUUUGCUCCAAAAAUCUGGAGCAUUCCAAAUUAAAGAAAAUUACCAAAAUGUCUUUAACUUUAAAUGUUAAUAACUCUUUCAUUAUAACUCAGUUUCACGAACGGUUUGCUCCUACACGUUCGUGAGAUCAAGCUCUAUUCAAAAAUAUAAAUUGUAACCUCGAAAGGUCUACGGAUUUUAAAGAUUGAUUACGAAAAUUCAACCCCGAUAAUUAUUUGAUUUAAUUCCAAAAAUCAAUGAAAUUAAAAUUAACUAAUAAAAAUAACGUAAACGUGAAAUAUGAAUUUAAAUAACGAGAUACGUAAUUAAUAGUGAAAUUUCGAGGACGGGAUUUCACAAGAAUUCUUUACAAGGCUACAAAGAAAAUAAAUAAAUUAAACUUCUAGAGAUCUCAAAUCUAAUUCAAUCUCAUUCCGCCUACUCUCAUGACUGUCUAGUUCGAAAACCUGCAUAACAAUAAAGGGGUGAACUUCAACAACUCACUAGGGACAUGAUCUUAAAUAGUAAAAUAACCAAGCUAAAUUAGAUGUCAUGGCAUCAUACACAUUAGAUAUCAAAUCAUUAUUGAUAACAAUGCAUGAAUGCAACGUAAAGCACUUUACCUAUACUUGUUAAUUCGUAUAACAAAACACACAGACCUCGUACGUCUCAUUCCGUACUUAUACCACUUGGUCCUGAGUGCUAAGUUAUAUAAAAUUUCUACCGAUCCCAAGCCCGGGUCGUGACACCUAACCAGGUCAACAGACCUGGUGAUCGCACCUGCCUGCUGGCGUGAGACCCUCUGCAGCAGCCCCAACAGAAGAGCCAAACGACUCUAUAUGACGUGGCUCGAUAACAACCGUCGAAUUGAUCUUAGGCGGGUGUAAUUGAUCUUAGGCGAUUAUCGAGGCAUGUUUGUAGAGAGAGGGAUUGAUUAAUUUGGUGGUUGCAUGACACAUGCAUACGGAACAAAACGAUCAAAUGGAAGUCACCAAGAGGCAAUAAUCACGGAUCGGGAGCUAUCAGAUGGACAGCACAGCACAAAACUUGACGUUGAGUACUUUACAUGUGGGCCAAUUCGGUGUUGGGCUUUACAUGUGGACCAAUCUGUUCUGACAUUCCAAAAAAAUAUGACCACAAAAUGAAACAAUAUAAAAAGUGAUUUAACUUAUUAUCAGUCCAUGCAAGGUUUUGUUAUUCGUCGAAAUGGGACUUUAGCCUUCACACCUUCAUAUAAUGUUCCAAUAACUUGUUUUUUCCCAUUAAUUUUCUUGUUAAAAUAUGUCAAUAAUUUUGAAAAUGGUACAUAAAAGUACUCUUAUAACAUCCCUCAAAUAUGGAAAACCAAAUAAAAUAAUAAAACUAGAAAACAAAAUAAAAUAAUAAAACUAGAAAACACAUAUCCCUAUUCUAAUUUGGUAAACUAGGCAGCCAUAAAUUCCACACAUUUCCUAGUCAAAUUUGCACCAAAUCAGGCUUAAGAAGUGGUGUUGGAAAGAUUAAAACGUUCCUUUCAACUUUGUAUAAUGAACUUUCCUAAAAAAAAAACAUAAUUUUCAAAGACUUGUGAUCAAAACAAGCUCAAAAUGUCAAUCUAGCAGCACAAUCCUCUUUACUCCUUGAUGAAUCAGUUCUAAUUGGAAUCACUCCAAAAUUCCAUCGUUUCGUCACUUUUUAAGCAAACUAGAUUCUGCUUGUCCUCCAAUUAAAGCAUAGAAGAAAGUAUCAAAAUUCUCUCAAAAUAACAAAUAAUUAUACCAAAGAUUAGGAUAAAAAUAGAAAAUAAUAUCUACUAGGCGGUCCUCAUACAAUAAAAGAGAAUUAAGUCACGAUAAGCAUGGAAACUAUUGAGGAGAAUUUGUAAGGUAAAUAUUUAUACAAAUGAUAACACUAUUAUUCAUCAACGAUAACGCAAGUUUUAGGGUGAACGACAUUGAUGUUUUCUGUGUUUGCACUUAAAGUCCGCCAAUCUUUUUGCAUUUGUUGCCUAUUGCACUGCACAACUGAUGGAUGCUAAUAUUCAGUUUACAAGCAGUUCCUACUAAACCAGUUCCCUUGUAGUCUACGAAAUGUUGUACAAAUUUCGUAGCUUUGGUUUUAGAAUUUAUACAACUCUAGUUAUACACAUUACUCUUGAAUAUGUAACUGUUGUACAAGUAUUCUUAGUUACUUAGGCAUAGGAAAGUUUUGAUUUGAUUUGAUUGAAAAGAGUGUCUCCAAUUAAUCGAAUGAACAAGAAUCCUUUGAAACAAACAUAGCUGCUUUCAUUCUAAUUUCAGAAAAUCCAAAUCCAUGAAAAACAUAUGCAGCACUCUACUAUCUUUAUUGAUAUCACUUUCAUCUCCAUUUUGUUUGUUAAAGGAUACGAACAAACAUUGAUAUAACUUAAAACAGUAGGAUAUAUAGGGCAGAGUCUUGAACUUGAAUAACACAAUCAACUAAAAGCUAUGAAGCUUUCUUUCUUUUUAAAGAAACCUCGACUGUACGAGAGAAAAUUUUAUUGAAUAAAAAAGAAGUUACACCUAGUCAAAGGGGGACAUAAACUUUACUCCUCAAAAUAAAGACAGGAUAAAGAAAAGAAGGCGAAAAUACAAGAAAGUAGGGGGACAUACACUUACAUAACAUAAAACAAACUUAUAACUAAACAUAUAGAGAAGGAAAGAAACCACAAUAGAGAAACCAAACGACAACAACAGACCCCUCCCCCCCCCCCCCACUAGUACUCUAAAUUUUCCAUAUCAUUUGUCUGAUCAUUCCAAAAAUCUUAAGAAACAAAUCGGGCCUCCUUGUGAUCACAACAUCUGCAAGAACUACUCCCACUACCAACCCACUUCCACAUCCGGCCGAAACAAUUUUCCAAUCAAAUUCAAAUAUUCCUGCUGAGCUAGAAUCACCUUCGUCUAAUGUUGGAGGUGGAAGUUGAGGGGCCUUAGGAUUUCCACAUUUCUUUGGCAAUGGAUCUCCACACAACCCUGGGUUUCCCUCGUAUGAAGUAAUAUUCAAUGAAGUAAGCUGGGUUCCUUCUGGUAUAGGACUUGUAUGAACGAAUAUGUCAUGUUUGUAUAUGAUAUUUUAUUUUUUUUAUCCUACGGCCUACUAUGUUGUCUUCAUCUUCGGUCUCAAAAGCCUUCCUUAACUUCUCUUUAUCUAUCUCAAAUUCAUAGCAUAGUAAUAAAAACAUACUGCAAACAAUUUCACUAUGCAGUAAAAUUUAUCAACACAAUUCCUUGAGCUCUCAACAUUAUAAAUUUAUAAAUGAAAGAAAACAGGUGUUAAUGCAGAAGUCAAAAGAUAUAAAUCACUUUCAAUUGAUAGAACUAAAAGAUCACAAAAAAAACAAGGACCUAGCGUUGAUACCAUAAGAAUGUCCAAAGGCUAUUCCUGUUAACUUUGCUUGGUCUUCUCUUGGUCGAUUCUCCAUCAACUCCUCCUGCUUAACCUCAAUUAUUUCAGUUGUCACCUCAUUCCUCCCCCUCUUUUUACUGACUUUAAUCUCACUUGCACCAGCAGCGGGGGGAUGGCUGGCACAACAGUUCCCGACCCACCAAAUCAAUCAUUCCAAAAUUUCUCAGUCUCAAUCAAUUCAACGAACAGAAUGGCAGCACCACAUUUUCUUCGAACACCACCUGGCAUCCCACAAGUCUACAACCCUCAAUCCACCACUACCUUCAAUGUGUAGCCACCUCAACCACGGGGACCAGCCACCCACGGUUUCAUGUAUGCAAGUGGAGUUACAACCAGCAAUGCAGCAGAAAACAAAAGUAGAAAAUGGAGAAAAAGAAUAUAGAAAGAAAAAGGGUGUCUGGAGGUGGAGAAAAGCCGAGAGGAGAAAGUGGAGAGCACGGCUGCCUACUCCAUUGUCUAAUAAAAUAAGAUCAAGAUAAACUUUAAUCAUUCAUGGCAGGGGACAAAUACAGAGUAUAAUAUAUACCCAUUAUCCCACUAUCUGGAAAAGUACAGAGUAUGGAGUGCAAAGUGACACAACUAUUUAUAGACUGGCAUCAGUAUAAAAUUCUUCCGCAAAUUAUACAUAUACUAAAACCCAGUUCCCCCAAGCACCGUUUUUCACUGUUCAUGAACAGUGAAAAGACGGUAAUGCCCUCGGGUUUUCCUAGCUUUGCCCUCAUGUGUGCAGUCAAUUGCCGGUUUUACCCAUUGAUCCCAAGGGUUCUGUGUCGUUUCUUUCUCUCUUUCCAUUCAUCUCUUUCACUUUACCUUUCAGCUCUCCAUUUUCUGCUUUCCUCAACUGGGUUUUCCUUCGUCGUCGGUGUGCACUCUGAUUUCUCUCAAUUUAUUCCUUUUCGUUUUGCGAAAUUAUGUCCGGCGAGACAUGAUCUUUGAUUUUUGCAACCAUUGUUGGCCGUUCUUCUCUGUUUUUGGCUGCCAUCCGUACUUUGGAUCGAUUUCGUCUUUUUCACCGUUUUGUUUCAAGCCUCUCUUUUGAGAGAAUUUUUACGUAUUAAGGUUAGUGAUUUCUAAACUUAAGUUUUGCUUUGCAGUUUGAUUUCAUUUUUGGUUGUCUUGCCCAAAUGUUAGAAGCUUUUAAUUUUUUUGGGUUCAAUUUUAAAUGGGUUGUUGCUUUCGGAGUUUUCGUUUGAUGACAGAGAUCGGGGUUUUUGGGGAAAAACUUUUAAUCGGUGAGUUUUUUAGUUAAGUUGUGUUGUGGGUCCUGACAAAUGGAUUUUUUGUUGAAAUUGUUUCUCUUCUCAUUUUUGGUUUUUUUUUUUUUUUUUUUUUUGUGCCAUCGGGUUUUUGCAUGUGGGUGUAUAAUCAGGUUUUCUUUUGAAUUUCAGGGGAUUCAGGUUUUUAUUUUUUUUGGAACUUUUGUAUGCAGCUUUGGAAGACAUUUAUGCUUAAUGUGAGAAACUUUGGUUGCUCGCUUUUGGGUUUUGUUGUAGAAUUAAGUUUUUUAUUUUAUUUUUAUUUUAAAGAGUUACAUUCGUGGGAAUUCAUUUAUUCUUUUUUUUUUCUGCAUCUGGAAAAUGCAACCUGAUGUGAGUUAUAGUCAUAAGUGCAAACAAGAAAAAGUUGUAGUCAUAAGUGCAAGAAAUAUAAAGCCAAAAGAACUUAGCAACAAUAUCAUACCUUAUUUUUCAAUUUACUUAUAAGGUUUCACAUUUUUGUAAAUAUCAAGAACAAAAACCUAGAACAGCCUCACAAUUUGGUGCACUGACUAGGAAAUUGACAGUUGGGUAUAGGUAUGGGUAGUUAAAAACUAUGAGACAUGAAAAUUAUUGUCAAAUGCAAGGACAGAAGGUCGUGUAUUUGCAAAGUUGAAGCGGCCCAAGGACCGAGUUGGUAUGUUUGAGUAGAUUGCUUGAUCUCCUUAGUUGGGUUUAGGUUUAAUGCUCAGUAGUUGGGACCAAGAUCCUCUCCCGAGGUAAGGAUGAGGAUCCUCCUGAUCAAGGAGUGUGGACCGUUGGAUGAAAAUCCAACGGCUACAAUUAUUAUAACUUUAAAGAGACUCCCCAGUUUGUAGUCGUUGGAUUUUCAUCCAACGGCCCACACUCCUUGGUCAGGAGGAUCCUCAUCCUUAGCUCAGGAGAGGAUCCUGGUCCCAGUAGUUGUUGUGCUUCUGCUGCUUUUUAGUUGUCGAGGAUAUACAGGGGGACAAGGAUUGUCUGCCCUCCCACUUUCGGUGCCCUCCUGUGAUUUGUGUGGUCACGAUUAAGCCACGUUAAUAUUUUAUAUUACUAUUCUUUGUGUCAACAUUUUAUAUCCUAUGCAGGGAGAGCAAGUAAAAAGAUUGUAUUCACUGUGUUGACGCAUUAUUGAACAAGAGACCCAAAAGGAAGAACAUAUUCAAUCUCAAAGUCUGUCAGCUUUCACUUCUUAAUUUUAUUAUUAUUAAUUUUGUUUGCUCUUCGAAAUUUGAAUGCAUGAGUUUUUUAAUUUUUUUGCGAUUAGUUUCCCUGAGAUGGGUUUUGGGUAAUCAUUUAUUACUUUCUGAUUUGGUUACAGGAUGCGAAUCAUUGCUUCUUUAGAAAAGAUUAAGGAAGGUGAGCAAUUUCAGAAAAAAAAUGCGAUUAUCAUUUUCUAGAGAUCAUGGCAUGCCCUUCCGUUAUUUUUUGGUGGUUGUAAAAUUAUGACCUGACAGGGAAGUUGGUUUUGACAAGAUUUUUAUUUUUAUUUUUUAUUUUUUAAUUUUACAUAUGUAGUGUCAUGCUAGCAUUAUUGCUUACGUAUAAAUGCGAGUGUGUUUUACAUUUAUAUAAUGCCUUUAAUUUUAACCUCUGCAUUUUCACUAAUGCCUUUAAUUAUCCUCUGUUUUACAUGUCAGUUACGACACAAAAGCUUCAUAGAAAAAGUAUCAGCUUUUGACUCAAAUUUCGACCGUGCCCCUAUCAUUUCCGAAAAUCAAAGCAACCCCAAGCAAUUCCAGAAUCAUUUUUAUGCGUCUCAAAAUCCAGUAUGUAUUAUCUUCAUCUCAAAUUUAUUCAUCUCACAAACGUUGAUAUCAAGUUCGUAGUUUUUCAUUGUUCAAAAUUCCACACUACUCAAUAUUUAAUAACACUUUUAUUUUCCUCUAUUUACCUUUUUAUUAGUGAUGUUGCAGCAAAGGAAAUAUCAGACACGACUCUUAUUCCAAAGGCUCCAACCAGAAAUGUAUCAGAUUCCCCAAUCAUUUCUGAAACCAUAUUUAUGGCUGCAAAACAGAGUAUGUAUACCCUUUCAUUGUUCUAUACUUUUUGAAUUAUUAAUGACCUAUUAAACAUGAUCUCUUUAUCCCAUUCGCUUAAAACUCAAAUAGUUCACUAGAUUUCUGUAUCAUAGUAUCUUUCGACCAUCUUUUGUAUGUAAGUAGGACAAUUUCGUAAAUCUUUUGUAUGUAAAUAUUAUAUACAUAUGCAUCAAGCAUUCUCUUUUGUAUGUAAAUAGGAUUAUCUACCAAAUCUUUUGCACAUAAAAUAGUAUGUACAUAUAGAUCAAGUAUUUUUGUAUGUACAUAGUGCUAUACACAAAAUUUCAUACAGUUUUCAAUCCCGCAGCAUCGUGCGGGCAUCUCUUACUAGUUAAUCUCUAAAAAGUGAUAGAGAUAGGUGUAACGGGGCAAGAACUUUUUGAAGUCAAGUCUUCAACUUUUGAAGUCAAGUGCAUCGUAUCUUCUACAUGCGUAAAAGAGGCUCUUGACUAAUUGAUUUGUGAGUUAAUUUUUGAAGUCAAGUCUUCAACUUUUGAGAUGGCGUGAAAUUAGAAGUUAGACAAAUGAGCAGCACCAUAAAAGAAAAAAGAAAAAAUUUGCACACACAUAGUUAAUCUCAUGAGUUCCUUCUGUAAGGGUUUAUGAUAUUUGUAUUGACACUCUUGUAAGGUUUUAUCAUAUUUGUAUGCCCAAUUGCAAGACUAAUCCAAACUUUGUAUUUGGGUACUUCUAAAUGUGUUGGACCUUCAUGCUUGAAAUCUUCAUUAAAAUAUGUGUAAUUUGUAUUCGAAUGUAAAAUUAAAAAAAAUAAAUAAAUGUUAAUGGGUGACUCAUGAGUUUAACAGGUUGAGUUUGAGUGACUCAUUAGCUUAACGAGUCGGGUGUGGGCGACUCGUUAGCCUAAGGGGUCAGGGGAAAUCCGAUCCAAACUAAAUAAACCCGACCCGUUUAUAGGUUACUAGCAGAUAGUAAAGGGAUGAAAGUUUCGAACUCGCAACAGCAAAUUAAGACAUUAGAGUCAUCAGAUUCAAUUCCUGCAAUUCCUGCAUUGGCUUGAAGUGGAAUGGAUUUGAAGCAAGAACUUUUCAUUCGAUAUCCAAUUUCUUCAUCAUUAGGACUUUCAAACUCCUAGCAUAUAUUAAGUCAAGAUUGCGGGUGUAACGAAAUUUUUCAUGUUGGAUUUGGUCUAUGGUGCAUUUUUCAAACUGCAAGCCCUUUUUUCAUCAGAAAAGAAAUAUCUCAUUAACUCGAGAGAAAGCACGGAAGAGAGAUACUUCCACUUGGAGGUGAGGCCCCAACCAUGAAAAACUAUAGAAAAACGUAUUUGGCUCAAUUCUACUUUUCCUUCAUUCUCAAAUGUACAAUAUAUAUAUAUAUAUAUAUAUAUAUAUAUAUAGCCAAGUCCAAUUUUCAGAAGUCGAAUCAUGUGAACGGUAGAAGAUCAAUGUAUAAAAAUUACAAGUGUGUGUAGGAAGUAAAAUGGGAUGUGUGAAUAGUAUUGGGAGAAAUUAGAUUUACAUCAUUCCUUUUGCUACUCCAUUAAUUAAAAUAUUAUUCCUUUUCAAUUUUUUAUCAAGGUCUUUGAAUAUUAAUAAUACAUUAAUUAUUUCAAUAAUAAAAUAUUUUUUAUUUUUAAAUAUAUUCCUUUAGGGUGCGUUUGUUGCACAGAACUAUCUCGGAUUGGACUAACUUCAAGAACUAAGCUGGACUGACUUGGCUUAGACUAAGCAUGACAAAAAUAGUGAAGUGUUUGGUAUGGCGCCGGACUAAUAAGCCGGACAUGAAAAAAUAUUAAUUUUUAUAUUAUAAAAGAUUAUUUUGUAGUUAUUUUAAAUUUUAAAAACCUAAUUAAAUUGCUUCUCUAAUCUCUAUCCAAGAAGGACCCAGAUGCUUCGUCUACCAAUUCAAUUGCCAGCAACUUUUUUAUUUCCUAUCGCAGCAACUCACCCAACACCAACAAUAAAGAAAUACCCAGAUGUUUUUAUAUCCCAAUUCAAUUGCUUAUCUAUUAAAGCGAUUCAAUUGCUUCCCUACCGCAGCAACUCACUAGUCUACGACAACAGAUUUGCGAAGACCCAAUCGACCCAUAAAUAACCAGACCUGAAAGAGAGACCCAGAAAUACCCAGUUUUGUAAGCUGCCACACAUCCAUCACCAACAACAGCGCUUCCUAAAAAAAAAAUGGCGGUGUAACCGCCGUUUCCCGCCGGCGGAGGAAUGGCUGCACUGCAAGAGUGGUGGGAAUCAAUUUUGGGGGAUGCAGAGGAAUGGCUGCAUCACAUGGAUUUGUGACGAGAGAGAGAAGAAAGAGAGAUGCAUGCGGAUAAGGGGUGGGCUGAGGUCGUUGGCUCGUUUCUUUGUUAGUCCUGCUUAAUACCAUGUGAAACCUUGGGUCUAGAUAUUGAGGUUUAGUGAAGUGCGGGGCGCCUCGUAGUCGAGGCGAGUCCCGUUAAUUCCAAUCCAAGACCAUGCCAAACGUAGGACUAUAAUCCUAGUUAAGCCAAUCCAUGCUAGUCCCUUCUAAGAAGGUGUAACAAACACACCCUUAGUGUUAAAAAUGUUAUAAUUAAUAUAUUUAUAUUUAUGGUUAAAAUUUUUAUCAUAUAUUUUUAUUUUUAGUUUGUAACAAUUUUUAAUUUUCAAACCUUUUUCAAAUUGUACCAAUUUUCUUUUCAGUUUUAAUUUGUACCCAUAUAUUAAUUUCUUUUUGUGCCCAUAUUUUUAACGCUUUAUUUGUAUUUGUGUCUGUGUGUUUAUCGUCACGUGACAUUGUAUAAUUAAUCAAUUAUAGAAAAAAAGGAAAACUAAUGAAAAGAGCUUGAAAACUUUGAGUUUUAACGAUAAGGACAAAAUAAAGGGUAAAGUGAAUAGUAUUGACAUACCCCGAUCAUAAAAUCAGAGCGUGCUGACCGUCACGUGAGCGUGACGUAACCAAAAGUGCGACGCGGAAGCAAAAAGGUAAAAGAAAUACGAAGGAAUAAAAACCAACUACUAGCAAUAAUAUCCAACUAACAUGCUAGAAUGAAUUUAAGUGUGAAAUACACAUAAUCAGAGCAUAAGUACUAGGUGCAGUCAAGUAGGACCAUUCCUAAAUUACAACACCCGAAGGUGAGUCCUACAUUUAAGUGGUCUGUCAGAACGCCGUGGGAGUCCUCGUGAGCCACCAACACUGCUAACUAGAACCUGGAGGGGCGCAAAACAAGAUUGAGUGGGUCAGUAAAACAAAGCUUUUCAAAAAUAUUUCAUUUAAUAACACUUCUAACCCCUCGCUGUAAAACCUGUAUACUUUCCCAGAAAAAUAGUAUAUAUAUAACCAUAUAUAACAACAAAUAAUUCAAAUCACAAGUCUUUAACACUUUUCAGGAAAAUAUGCCAUGCUAUGCUUCAAAACAUAAUAAGGAUGCAUCAAUAUAACAAGUGAAAUAAGGAAUCAACCGGAGACCCUGCAGCUGUCCUGUACGGCUAAUUCUAUAGCUCAAUAUCCAAUCCAACCGGAGUCACCAACUGUGACCUGUACGGCACUACUCUGCACACAAAUCGGAACUACCUGAAGUAGUAUGUACGACAAGAAUGGUGUAAGAAUACGCUCUAGUGCUUCUCUCAUCAACAGCUGUAUAAUAAUCUAAAGUCACCUACAAGUCGGAACCAUCUCUACUGGUCUGUACGACAUGUCGGAACCACCUCUAGUGGUCUAUACGACAUGCACCUACUUGGAUCCAAGGUGAGCGUGUGGUGCGAGGUGAAUAAUAUAAGCACUAACACCAGGGGUGCAGGUUAUGAGCUCUCAACACAAUUCACAUCAUCAAUAAAUCACAUGAACAACAUAAAACUCACCUGAUACUCACUUGUGCGUCCACAACACCAUUUAACAUAUAUGCAUGAAAUACUAGUUCAUAUAUUUCAUAUAAUAUGAAUGCAUGACCUUUUAAAACAUACUAUCAUUUAAAUUCAAUUUCUGGGAAAAGUCAGUAGUAUAUAUGUAUAUACAGAAAAUAACUGCCCACUCACUAGUAUGUCGAAGAGUCGUAACCCCCGUGACGCCCUUGAAUGUGCUCGUCCUCGGGAUAGGUCUCACCUAUAUGCGAAACAACUAUAAAAACGUUAUUUUAACGCACAUAGGCAAAACUAGCUUAUAACUUCUCAUACAUUGCUCAAUUUGGGUAUAUGAAUAUACCACAGUGACCUACUCGACGUCACGGAUGUCGAGAUAUUUUAGAAUAAUUUUUCAAUGCCGCACGCGCCCCCACGCGCCGGGAGAGGCACGGUGCUACGCGUCAUCCCCUACCUCCAGACACCGGAAAAUCUCGUCGGCGCCGGAAACUGGGCAAACCUGUAAAUGCCAUUUUCCACGAAAUUUUCACCAAAAUGUCACAAAUCACGAGAGGAAGAAGGCUAUACCUUUUAAAACUUCCAAAUCCUUUGAAAACUCGUCGGGAUAAUUCACCAAAACCGGCCACCUUCGAACCUCGUGAUCCCGACGUCCAAAACCUUCAAACGAACGUCCUCGAGCUUCGUGGGAACCUCCUUAAGCUCACUGUGAGCUUGAAAUUCCCUGAAACACAAUGUUUUACGUGUGCAUGAACAGUGCACAUUUUCGGGGUUAGGGUUUCACAAUGAUUUCGAAGGUCUUAAGUUCCAAAAUUAGUAUGCUUGAACUCAGGGACUCAAGAUGAGUUCGAUUCUUACCUUAGAACCUUCGAUCUGUGAAGAAAUGGCGUAGAAUAAGCUUGUCCGCACGUGCACAGUGACAAAGGUGCCGAAAAACCGAGAGAGAGAAGGGAGAGAAAGUCCACGGGAGAGAGAGAGAAAAGGCAGGUUUGUGUGUGUGUGGUCCACAUUAAUCCCUAACCACACAAAUGAAAACAUAACCUAAGUUCCAAUUAAAUUUUCCACAAACUUAGGAAGGACAAUAUUAAUCAAAUGUAUAAGUCACACACACACCUUAGAAAUCUUUAGGGACAAUUCCGUCAAUUCACAUCAACGAUAAAUGUAAUUUCGGGACGGCUGUGACAGUAUCAUGAUUGAUUUUUUAGUGUAAAAAUGUGGUUUUUCGUUAAGGUGAACAGUACAGAGAGUUUUUCGUUAAAGUUUCCUAGAAAAAAUUACAUAUGUUAUACAUAACUAUUUGUAGACUGGCAUCAGUAUAAAAUUAUUCUGCAAUAUAAUUUCUAAAAAGUGAUAGAGACGAGUGUAAAGGGGACAAGUGCAUCGCAUUUCUUCUACAUGCGUAAGAAGAGAUGCUCUUGACUAAUUGAUUCAUGAGUUAACUUUUGAAGUCGUCUUCAACUUUUGAAACUGUGUGAAAUCAGAAGUUAGAAAAAUGAGCAGCACCAUACAAGAAACAAGGCUUGAUGACGCAGCACUAGUGUAGAAGGAUUAAAAAUAUAAAUCCUUGAAGAAACAAAGUUUUUGGAACCCACCAGUUUGAUAGAAACUCCAAAAGGAUAAUUUGAUUAAUUGAUGAGUUGGUGAUUACAAUGGCUAACGCUAACACUCAUGACUUAAAUAAGUAAUUUACAACACUUUUGGACAACUCAAAAGGCUUAGAGAAUUAAAACGAAAGUAAAUGACAUUAAUCGGACGACAAUUGAAAAGUCUGAAACUUAUUACAAACUUUAUUUUUUGGUUUUGGAAGCUUAAUUCCUCUUAAACAUGACGGGCUCAUGAUAUCAUUCCUCUUGUUCUGCUCGCAAUUCUCUUCAAAACGAUAUAUUAUACGCCUAAUUAUGACACCGGAAUAUUUCUUGCUGUUUUUUCUGUCGUCAUAUUUAUUGAAUCCAAUAUUUUCCAAUUUUAAUUAUUCUUCUCUUGAAACAUUUUAUUUUAUUUAUAUUUCUUGAUAGGAAGUGACUCAUAUCUUGUCUUACAUCACUUGACUUGACCUCAACCAUCUGAUCUUCGACCUCAAGAUCCAGAUUAAUGGAGUGUGUAAAAAAUAAAUAAAUAAAGGGAAGAGAAAAAGAAGUACAAACCGAUCGAUUACAAAACUUUGCUAAAAUUGCUACAUAACGCAAAAUGACUACAUCUUACCAAACUUAACACCAGCCAAGUUACAUGGUGUAUUUAUAAAGACCCAAUUCUUAACAAACAUGAAAGCAAUCGUAAACCCUCCUAAAUAAUAGGAAAGUAACCUAAGAUCAUGUGGCACAGAAGGAUUGAAGAGUAGUAGAUUGACUGAGUAGUAGACCUGUAAACAGGUCGGGUUCAAUCCAACCCGUUAAAUUAAUGGGUCACCCAAACCCAACCUGUUAAGCUAACGGGUCACCCGAACCCGACCUGUUUCACCUCGUUAACAAUUAUUAUUAUUAUUUUUUUGCAUAGAGUUUAUUUUUUGUUGUUAAGACUUUACUGAAAUUACUAAAACAUCCUCAACUAACGGAUGCUAACGGGUCCGAACGGGUUGACCCAAAGUGACCCGUUAUUUAACAGGUUCACCCGUUAGCGACCCAACCUGUUAAGUAUCCACACAAAUACUAAUAUUAACGGGUCAGGUCGGGUCGGGUCUAAAAUGCCAGGUCAGUGAGUAGUACUCUUGACAAGACUGAACAAAUAAUGAAUGCAACCAAAUAUAGUAAUUAGGUUUUAAUUCGACCGGUGGAGUGGAUACUGGUCUAUGUGUGGAACUUGUGCUUUGUUUUUGGUCUAUGUUGAUUUUUUCAAACUGCAAGUUCUUUUCUCAUCAAAAAAGAAAUAUCUCAUUACUCAUCCCCAACUACAGAUGUCUCUAGGAAGUGUAGGUAUUCUUGUUGACGUCAAAUAGGAGAGAAACGGCAUCCACUAGUCUUACGUGGUUGAUAUGACUCUUUGACACUUGGUAGACCCGAUUCUUCUACACUUAAUGGAUUUCUGUUUAAGAAGUUGAGGUUCUACCAUAAUAUCGCAGUAGUCACAUGCACUCCACGUAGUUCCGUUGUUUGUCCACAUGUUAGACUUAAAAAAAUUUUCCACAAAAAACAGAAGAAAAAAAAAUGAAGUUAAUUUUUGCAUAUAUGUAAUACAUUUAUAGUUGAUCUCAUGAGUUCCUUCCGUAAGGGUUUAUGAUAUUUGUAUUGACACUCUUGUAAGGUUUUAUCAUAUUUAUAUGGCUAAUUGCAAGACUUAUCAACUUCACAUUUGGGUACUUCUAAAUGUGUUGGACCUUCAUGCUUGAAAUCUUGAUUAAAAAAUAUGUAAUUUGUAUUGGAAUGAAAAAUUAAACAAAAAAAAAAAAAACAAUUUUAACGGGUGACUCAUGAGCUUAACAGGUUAAGUUUGGAUGACUCAUUAGCUUAACGAGUCGGGGGUGACAUGACCUAAACCCAAUAAACCGAACCCGUUUACAGGUUACCAGUAGAUAGUAAAGGGGAUGAAAGUUUCAGACUCUCAGCAUCAAAUUAUUAGUCAUCAGUUUCAAUUCCUGCAUUGGCUUGAAGUGCAAUGGAUUUGAGGCCCGAAAUUUUUAUUCGAUACCCAAUUUCUUUAUCAUUUUAGGACUUUCAAACUCCUAACAUCUAUCAAGUCAAGAGUGCGGUGUAACGAAAUUUAUCAUGUUGGAUUUAGUCUAUGUUGCAUUUUUCAAACUGCAAGUCCUUUUCUUGAGAAAAGGAAUAUCUCAUUAACUCAAGAGAAAGCAAGGAAGAGGAGAAAUACUUCGAGUUGGAGUUGAGGCCCCAACCAUAGGAAAACUGUAGAAAAACGUAUUUGACUCAAUUGUACUUUUCAUUCAUUCUCAAAUGUACAAUAUAUAUAUAUAUAUAUAUAUAUAUAGUAAAUAAAAAUAUAUGGAUUAACUAUAAAUACACACCAUUUACUCUUUUAUAUAAUGAGCUUAAUGCUGAAACGUUAAUGAAUCCAUGUAGAAGAUUUAAUAAGCCUAAUUGUUCAAUGAACCUAAUUAACUAACAUGCCCUCUCAAGUUAGAGAGUGAAGAUCCACAACUCCCAACUUGCGUAUCAUAAUCGAAAAUUUUAAAUUUCGUUAGGUAAAAGCUUAAGCAUUGAAAACUUACUUUUACCUGACGAAAUGGUUUCGUCUAAAAUGGUGUUUUCUUGUAGUGAUAUCAAGUAAACUCCAUAACAAUAAUCUUUUGAAUUUUUGCCCUCUUAGCUAUGUAUGGAAGUACAAAGUGACACAACUAUUUAUAGACGGGUAAUGCUUGACAAAGGAAUACGUAUAGGGUGGACUAAUAUAUAUAUAUAAUAUAUGUGUGUGUCCAUAAAUUCCUUACCACAUCAACCUUGACCCAUUGGAAUCUAUAAAUUUGAAUUUGUCUAAAUUCCCAUGGCUACACCAAAUUCUUUACAAACACUUAUCAGCUGCUAAUUAUUAAACUGACCAACUAUGAUUAGUGUGAUGAGCUGAAGGAUACAAAAUAUGUGUUAUAUAAUUAUGGUUGUUUAGUAAAACUAUAACACAGCUAAUGUUUCUCUCGCCGAUCUUUUCUCACAAUCUAGUAAGUGGACUAAAUGAUUUAAGCAGUUAGUGAAAGAACAUAUGUAGCUUGUAAUUUGACUAAUUUCCCCAUGUUCGGAGAAAUUUCACAGGCCUUUGUAAGAUUUCACUUUAACAAAGAGAGCUCCAAUAACCUUCUAAAACAUUUAAGCAAAGCACAUAUCACAAAAAAUGAACCUGAAUGGGGAAGAUCAUCAUAAGCUAAUAUGGACCAUGUAUAAAAGAGAUAAAUAGGAAUUAAGGAUGUGUGAAUGGAUACCAAGCAACUAAAAAGCUUCUAAUGGGUCUUUUCCUUCAAAUAAUGAUUGAUAAGAAACAACCAUUCUUCAUGAGGAAGCAGGUAAUGUAUUGUGCACCCUAAUCUAUUGUCCUAACAACGAUAAUACAUAGAAAUUUAUGGUGCCCCAUUGCACGUAUGCAGCAGGCUUUUAAGCAUAUCAAUAUUUGCAUAAGAAGAACCAACAAACAGAGAGACGAAACACCUAAAUUUACAACAAUUAGUCUUGUGAAGCCAAAUGGGAGGGAGUGUGUUGAGAAUGAGUUCCACGUCAAUGAGAGGAGGAACCUUGCAUAAGUUUGUAAGAAGUCAAGUUACUCCUCGUAUUACCAAUUAAUUUUAUAGUAAAACCUCACAUUUUUUCAAAAUGAAAGUUUAACAAAAAAAAAAAAAGGGAUAAAAAACACCUAAAUUUACAGAGAUAAUUUAAAACAUGUAAAUAAGAAAUUGAAAAGUAAUCUGCAAUUUGGUUUCUUCAGAAGCAAUGAGCAAAAGAAAACGGGAGAAUGAGACCAACACAGAAAAGAAAACAUCCUUUUUACCCCUAAGUUGUGCGCGAUGUCCUACUUCCUUCCCUUCUUCGUUUUGGCAGCCUUCCCCUUCAUUCCUUUCAUUCUUCGUAUUUUCUCCCCCCGCGCUGUCUCACUUUCAGAGUCUGUAAGACUCACUCACGACUCAGCAGCUGUUCAGCCUGACUCGUGCCUCAUCUCAGCCUCACUCAGUCCUUCCUCUACGUCGACCACUCGCCCACCUCGCACUCACCCUCGCGGCCCACAAGCUUCCUCUCGCCGUUUCGAGUCUCGACAGCCCACCUUGAUUCCUCGAUUCCAAAAGGUUAGUCUUUCUGCUGGAUUAAAAUUUGGAUCCACAACUAUAGUUGGUCUUUCUACUGAUUAAAAUUUGGAUCACAACUGUGUUUUUUCCGAUUAGGGAUUUGAAUUGGAAACCUUAUCUGUCAUUUCUGCUUUGACAGUUUUGUUUCUCUAUUUGUAAAUAUGAAUUCAUCACAGAAAAACACAAAAUGGUUUUGUUAUUUACCAUUAAUUUUCUUGUUAAAAUAUGUCAAUAAUACGAAGGAAGUUUUAAUGAAAAGUCCGCGGUACUAUUUACUUUAACGAAAAAUCAUAUUUUUACAUUAAAAAGUCAAAUAUGGUAAUAUUCACUUUACAUUUUAUUUUGUCCUUAUCGUUAAAACUCAAAGUUUUCAAGCUCUUUUCAUUAAUUUUACUUAAUAUGAAAGGUUUUGUUAUUCGCCAAAGUGGGACUUUCGCCUUCACCUCUUCACAUGUACCAAUCACUUGUUUUUUCCCAAUAAUUUUCUUGUUAAAAUAUGUCAAUAAUUUUGAAAAAUGGUACAUAAAAGUACUCUUGUAAAGUUAUGAUAUCUUCACGUGAAAAUGUUUUUUUGCAAGAAUAAAAGGUGUAUUGUCCUUGCACGACAAAAGAGAAAUUAAGUUACUGAUAAAACACAAGUUUUAGGGCUAACGACAAUGAUGUUUUCUGUAUCUGCGCUUCAAGUCCACCAGCCCUUUUGCAUUUGUUGCCUAUUGCACAACUGAUGUAUUCAGUUUACAAGUUGUUCCUACAAAACCAGUUCCCCUGUAAUCCACGAUUCUUAUUCAUUCUCUCCGAUGAUUGGAACAAAAAGUUGUACAAAUUUCGUAGCUCUGGUUUUAGAAUUUUAGACAAUCCUUGCUAUACACAUUAUUCUUAAAUAUGUAACUGUUCUACAAGUAUUCUUAGUUACUAAGGCAUAGGAAAGUUUCGAUUUCAUUUGAUUGAAAAGAUUUGUCUCCAAUUAAUCGAAGGGUUAUUAUACAAAAUAGUCCAUGAGAUUUUUAUGAUCAAUAGAAAUUCUCUAAUAUUAAAAAUCAAUAUAAAUGGCCCCUGAGAUUGUUCAUUAUCCAUGAUUUUGGUCAUUUCAUUAAAACUUCUUUGGGCAAUUUUCAAAACUUCGUAACUCAAUCGAUUCUUAACCAAAUUCGACUCAUAAUAUAUCAAAAUGAAAAUAAAAAAGUUUAGAACAAGAUUAUACCUAUUUGGAAGCCCAAUGAUUGCCAGAGAUGACUGGAAAAUAGCCUGAAAGGUGACUGGUCCACCGGAAAACUGGAAAACUCGCCGGAAACUGGGUAAACUUUAAACAUUUAUAACUUCUUCAAUACUCAACGAAAUCGAGUGAUUCAAAAACAAAAAUUUAGAUUUCAUUUGAUUGAAAAUAUUGUCUCCAAUUAAUCGAAUGAAUAAGAAUCCUUUCAAAUGAAAAUAGCUGCUUUCAUUCUAAUUUCAGAAAAUCCAAAUCCAUGAAAACAUGCAGCACUCUACUAUCUUUAUUUAUAUUACUUUCUAUCUCCAUUUAAUUGUUAAAGAAACUCGACGGUACAAGCAAACUGAUAUAACAUAAAAAUAAUAUGAUACAUAGGGCAGAGUUUUGAACGUGAACAACAAUCAACUAAAAGCUAAAAAGCAUCAAUACAUUCUAUCUCUUUUUUCAAAAGAAAUCUCGACGGUACAAGGAAAAAUUUAUUGAAUAAACAAAAGAAAUUACACCUAGUCUUGGGGGGAUAUAAACCUUGCCUCUCAAAAUAAAGAGAAACGUAAGAAAAGAAACCGAAAAUACAAGAAAAUAGGAGGGACAUACACUUACAUAUCCUGAUACAAACUUAUAACUAAACAUAUAGAAAGUGAAGGAAAGAAACCACAAUAGAGAAAACAAACGACAACAAGAAAUGUGUAACAUUGUAACAAACCGAAUUUCUACGCCCCCAUUAGUACUCUAAAUUUUCAUUAUCAUUUGCCUGACCAUUCCAACAAUCUUAAGAAACAAGUCAGACCUCCUUGUGAUCACAACAUCUGCAAGAACUACUCCCACUACCAACCCACUUCAACAUCCGGCUGAAACAAUUUUCCAAUCAAAUUCAAAUAUUCCUGCUGAGCUAGAAUCACCUUCGUCCACGGUUGAAGGUGGAAAUGGAGGGGCCUUAGGAUUUCCACAUUUCUUUGGCAAUGGAUCUCCACACAACCCUGGGUUUCCCUCAUAUGAAGUGAUAUUCAAUGUAGUAAGUUGGCUACCUUGUGGUAUAAGACCUGUGAGAUUGUUGGGAGACACAUUGAAAUUGGCAAGAAAAGUAAGUUGCCUCAGUUGUUGGGGGAUCCGUCCUGAGAGCUUGUUUUGUGAAAGGUCCAACAAUUCAAGUUUCAUCAAGUUUCUGAAGGAUGAUGGGAUAGAACCAGUGGGAAUGUUGUGGGAUAGACUCUGCGAACAAGGCUCCUUAAGAUUCCCAAUGAAUUCUGGAAUUUUCCCUUCAAAUUUUUUGCUCGAGAUAUCAAAGGAUGAAAAUUCUUCUCGGAUCUUUGGGUAGUAUUGCUCCAAACAUUUUGUUGCUAUUGUGAGUUGGUACUCAACACUGUUAACAAUCGUGAAUCCAUUGACAUCAUAAACUACGUCUGUGUACAUAUAUGUUGACUUAUUUAUGGUAAUAUCUGGAAAUACAGACGGAACCGCACCAGUAAAAUCAUUGUAAGCCAAAUCAAGAAUGCGUAACUUGGGGAAAUCGACAUUCUUUCUAGACUUUCCAAUCACACCAUAGAAUCCAUCAUGGCAUAUUGCCAAAAGUUUUAACUCCAAAAGAGUCCCCAACCAAAUGGGAAAAACAUCAUUGAAUUGAUUGUUUGACAAAACAAGAUACUCAAGCAUUACACAAUUGGCCAAUGACCUCGGCAACUGCCCUUGCAAUUUGUUAUGACUCACAUCAAUCAUUCUCAAACUGCUUCCUUUGUUGUAUGUCUGAGGAAUAAUUUCGUGAAAACAAUUGUUUCCAAGAAGUAAAAGAUUCAGAUGAUCACUAAAGUUUCCGAGACACUGAGGAAGCAUGCCACUCAAGUUAUUUUUCGACAAGUCAAGGUAUUGAAGAUUUUUCAUAUUGCAAAGCAACGGUGAGAUUUCUCCGGUAAAGUUGUUGUCUGGAUGAAAACCUUACACAUAACAGUUUCACCCAAGGAAUGACAAGUGGAGGUUGGUCUGAAAUGAAGUUAUUAGAAAUGUCUAACAAUAGCAAAGUUUCUAUGAUUGUGUUCCACAUCCAUUUUGGUACUUGGCCCCGAAUUUUGUUUAUAGAAAGGUCCUAACGCUCCAAACUUUUCUGAUAUUGUAAGAAAGAUGGAAACUCUCUUAUGUUGCAAGAACUCAAUCCUAGGACAGUGAACUGCAGAACUGUUGAAUUUGCAAUUCGUGGAUUCAGUGACAAAUUCUAAAAUGUUCCAACUUAAUUGGAGUUGGUAAAGAAAUUGUAGAUUUUGAAAUUGUAAACAUGAAAAUUUCCUCCUUCGAAUGAGACAAGAACGCGUGUACAAAAUAAUAUUUUGUAUUAAUUUUGGGGUUACAAUCACUUUUACAAUUUGAUACUCUGAUUCUAUCUUCGUAAGAUGUAGAUUUGUAGGUGGGCAGUUGAUCCAAAAGGUCAUCGGGGCUUGAUCUAGGGAUGAACAAGGAUGAAUGGACCUUCAAGGGCCUUCAGGGCUUGAACUUGAUGAACGAGGAUGAACAGAUCUUCAAGGGCCUUUGGGGCUUGAUCUUGAUGAAAGAUGAUGAUUGGAUCUUCAAGGGCAUUCGAGGCUUGAUCUUGAUCUUGAUGAAUGAGAAUGAACAGAUCUUUAAGGGCCUUCGGGGCUUGAUCUUGAUGAACGAGGAUGAAUGGAUCUUCAAGGGCCGUUGGGCUUGAUCUUGAUGAACAGUUGGGAGCUGCGGUUGGGAGCUUCUUCAAGUACCGUCGGGGCUUUAUCUUGAAUGAGUGGUUGGGAGCUUCUUCAAGGGUCGUUGGGGCUCGAUCUUGAAUGAGCGGUUGAGAGCUUCUUCAAGGGUCGUCGGGGCUUAAUCUUGAAUGAACGGUUGAGAGCUUCUUCAAGGGUCAUCGGGGCUUGAUCUUGAAUGAGUGGUUGCCUCAAGGAUUUGGCUUGCGGCAAAGGAAGAAUCGGCACGUGACCAAAGUGCUAGUUGAUUCUUCAAAGGUUUUGGCGAAGAACGAAGAGAGCUUUCUCGAUCUUUUGGAAUUCCUGAGAAUUUGGGGAGUUGGAUGCUUGAGAGCUUUAUAGUGUAUUUGUCUUGUCAUUGUCCAAAAUGAGAAGAAAAAACUUGUUUUGAUCCAUAAUGGAUUGAAGUGUGUUUGCCUUGUCAUUGCCCAAAGUGAGAAGAAAAUUUUGUUUAAUCCUCCAAGGGUAUUUCUUCCUAUUUUGUUGAGUCACACGCCAUGUGUAAAAUUUAUGUGACAUGUGAACGUUGAAAUUUUAAUGCAUUGGUCAACAUUUAUUUCACCGAAAUUUCGAUGUCUACAUAAACAUUUGAACCUCCACUGCACCACUCAGACUAUUCCAAUGUAGAUAAAGGAUCUGAAGGUUUGUGAGAUUUGAACCAUUAAAUCUAUUAUAAGCAAAAUCUAGGUACUCUAGUUUGCUAAAGUUGCCUAGCCAAGAUGGGAUUGGACCAGUUAAUCAACUGGAACAAAUCCUAAAAGUAGCCAAUUGGGUAAGGUUUGCCAAGGAAUCAGGAAUUGGACCACCAUAACUUUUGGCUGAAAUGUCUAGAUAAGUGAGCUCACUGAGCUGCCUAAUAUUCCCAAGUGAAGAUGGAACCAACCCUUCUGAAAAAUUGCAUUGAGCCAUAUCUAAUUUUUGCAGUGAAUCAAGGUUUUGAAUAAGAGAGUAUGGUUCCAAAAAAGCCAGUAAAGCCGACUUUCAAUAAGAUGAGAGGACUGCUUCGAUUAAAGUCAGCAAAAUAUCCAGUCAAUUCUUGGUUGUAUCUCACACUAAGAAAUUUUACGUUUGGUAGUUGGAAAAUUCUCACCAGAGAUCACCAAAUAGGUGACAGUCCCUGAGGUAGAGGGAUGUCAAAGAUGAUAAAUUAGCCAUGGAAUGAGGAAUUGCCGAAGAUACGUUUACGAACUGAGAGAAAGUACUUCGAGACUAGUUAAGUUUUGAACUAGGCUUCCAAGAUCUGAUGCUUCAAGUUUCAACAAAGGAUGAUCCUUAUCUUCAGACAAUCUAUCGAGAUUGACAGCUAGAUUAAGGUAUGUCAACUUGGAUAACAGUGAAACUUCAGAAGGGACUUGACCAGAAAAGACAGAGGUAGAGAGGUCAAGAUGAGUAAGGCUUGGAAAAUUCCUAAUGCUAGGAGGAAUUUGAGAGUAAUUGAAGUUAUUGUCAGAGAGGUUUAACCUUGGAAGAUGAACAAGGCGGAAGAGGCUGCUUUCCAUGAUGAAACCUUUGGAUAAGCAUCGAUAGAUCUAGAAGCAGAUAUGUCAAUAGUAAAGCUGUCUUUGGAUUGCAGCAGGGCGGACUUCUCCUCAUCAGGGCAAGAUGGAUAAUGCUUCUGCGAAGAGUGGGAAGAGUUAACAAUAACUAUAUGAUUAAACAGCAACAAAACUAGUACUAGUUUUGAAACCAUGCGAAUGAUGGAGAUAUCAAGUAACCCCAUAACAACAAUCUUUUGAAUUUUUAUUUUUUUUAUUUUUUAUUUUAAAGCUUUUAGGCCAUCUCCAACCGAAUGAG
RNAcentral lists this long non-coding RNA (64951 nucleotides) under Malus domestica (apple). RNAcentral describes it as "long non-coding RNA (MDOM_LNC006710)". The record is from RNAcentral. Lineage: Eukaryota; Viridiplantae; Streptophyta; Magnoliopsida; Rosales; Rosaceae.